RNAcentral lists this long non-coding RNA (67020 nucleotides) under Ananas comosus (pineapple). Its description in RNAcentral is "long non-coding RNA (ACOM_LNC017254)". The record is from RNAcentral. Lineage: Eukaryota; Viridiplantae; Streptophyta; Magnoliopsida; Poales; Bromeliaceae.
AAUCAAAUAAAUUGAAAGGUUGAAUAAUNCUGCUACUGAAUUGUUUUUUUUGAGAAUAAGGUAGCAAAGCUACCUGCUUCAUUCAUUAAGCAAAAUUCUGCUACUGAAUUGUUGAUGGGAACAAUAUUACUCAACAAGAAAAUUAUUAUUAUUAUUAUAUAUAUAUAUAAAAUUUGCAUGCAACCUAUGUAGAAAAGGUUAUUUGUACGAGAUAAUAAGAUUAAUCACGCGGCAAAAAUUUGAAAAGUUUGGAUGACUCAACACAUUAUUUUCUAAAAUUCACGAGUUAUUUUUUUUUUUUGAGAAAAAGAUAGCACGCUACCCGCUUCAUUCAUUGAAUAAGUGAACUAGACUACACGAGUGAGAAAACGAGGGCCCGAAAAAAAAAUUCACAAGUUAUUAGUUACCAGAAAAGAUAAGUACAAUGUAUUCUACUAAUUUCUAGUAAUUGUACGUAGGUUGAUGACUACUUAGUUAACCUUUUAUGGGCCUAUUGCAUCAUCUAAAGAGGGCAAAGGGAUUGGUUGUGUCUAGGGGUGUCAACGCGCCUAACACGAGCUGACUCAUUAAAGUAUUGAAUUGAAAAAUUUAGCUCGUAUUCGAUUCAUUUAUUAACGAGCUGAACAUAAAUUGGUUCACGAACAACAAGUUAAAAGAAUUAUAAACGAUAUAUAUAGAAAAUAAAAUUUAUGAAAUAUUACUCAUUAGAUUUUGAUCUAAUGAUUGAAACUUGUAUAUAAAUAGGCCUUUUUUUAUAAUUGAGUUGCGCUUUAUAUUUAGAUUGGAUUAAAAAUCAAAUAAUAAAAAAAUAUAUAUAUUAUAUUAUAUAAAUUAUAUAAAUACAAAAUAUAUGUAUAGGAGCUGUUAUUUAGCCAAGCACGAGUAAACUGACCCGAGCUCAUGUUCGGCCCGUUUAUUAAAUGAGUUGAAAAAUUCAGCUCGUGUUCAACUCGUUUACUAAACAAGCGAUUCGAUCCCGAAGUCGCGAACAACGAGCUGGAUUGCCACCUUAGUUGUGUUAAUAAUUAAUCUUCUUCAUAUUGCGCGCAUCUUCUUUUUGAAGAGCAAUGCACCACCACAUGAAUCAAAACUAACCCAUUUUGGCUUAUUAUUCAAUUGAUUGACUCCUUUUUUUUUUUCUUUUUUUUUUUUUUUUUNGAUAAAAAAUAAUUUCAUCUUUUACUUUCAGAAAAACAAAUAUGCCCUUUUGUGUAUGACGUGAUUUUAUGGCUUCUCAGGAACAGGACGAUGUCCGAGUUUGCGAAAGAUUGAUUACAUUUUAUUUAUAGCUAAUACCUCAUACUUGUGGCUCCUUGCAAAUUUGCCAAUUUUAUAUUUGACCGUUAUUCAAACGAAAUUCCAUUUCUAUAAUCUGUAUAUCGAAUCUCUUUUGGACUUGGUUCGGAAACCUAUUUGCGAAAGAUUGGUCGAGAGAGGGUUUCGUCGCAUUUUUUUUUUUUUUUUUUUUUUUUUUUGUGUGUGCAUGGAAUCCAAUCCUUUAGCUGAGAUAGUUUACUCUAUAGAUAUAUACCAUUUAUAUAUUUUACAUCAAGGUCAAAUAUUCGGAUUGAUCGAUCGCCAUUAUACGACUAUAUAGCCUUUGAUUCCUCUCCGUGUCAAAAUUUAUACAACUAAGCAAAGAAUUAAGAUCGAUCAAAGUGCACUAACCCGGCCGAUUAAUUCCCCAUCCAGAAUCUAGAAUAGUUGACAAAACAGGCCAUGAACACAGUAAGUAACAAGAUAACAAUGUAUAGCCCAAAACUUUGAACUUAACUGAACCAUAAAGAAAUGCUUUUUUAGCUUUAGAAUAUUACCAAAGAACAAUCUUUAUCACAAAUGAAUAACAGCGCAGCGUGACACGCUUGCAUAAGAUCGAAGGUGCAGGUUCUGCACUUUUGUAACGAUUCGAUCCGUUAACAAUAAUAACUCAACUGCCGGUUCAAAAUACUAAAGCUCAGUUAUUAUAAGUGUCCAUAAUGCCUUAUAACCCAAUCACAACCCCGUUCUGCGCACUCACAUUUUCGUCUGAUGCCAAAUAUAACGAUUCAGCCUACUAACAAUAAUAACUCGUUAGGCCCCAAAUCACUAACCCAAAUUGAUUAAGCCCAAUUAUUAUUAUCCAAUCACAAUUUCAUUCUUAUCUGAUGUGGGACUAUUAGGGUAUCAUAAAUUUUUUUUUCUUUUUUUGGGGAUUUUUUUUCGAUGGCCCUGUUGCCUUAGUCUUAUAACUUAGUUUGUUAAUCUAAUGAACGAAUCAGACAGCUUGCUAAUUUUUCUCAGAAAAAAAAUAAAAAAAAAUCUAAAAUGUUUACAUUUUGAAUCAAAGAUCAGUACUUCCUAACAAUCAACUGUUGCAAUUGUCAAUUUGGAGGCUACUAAAGAGUUCUGCAACAUAUAUUUAAUGGCCUGGACCUUCACUAUAAAUGCCCUAAAUUUGGUUUUGAAAGGGAAGUAUAGAUAUUUUUUUGAGUGAUAGAUAUCAUGUCACCCGGUUCGUUUAUUUCUUUUAGAAAUAAAUUUAGUUGGAAAUAUGACUCAAUUAGAAUUCGAACUUGGGACCUCAGAUACUAAUCAUCAAGCCCUUUGCCAGGUAUAUAUUAAUGCAUGAAUAAAUUCCUAGUCCAACUCAUGGUUUUUGUGCUUCUACAUGACUACAUGCACCUUUUUUGGAAGGUUUCGAGCAUAUUGCCAAGGCCAAGAUAUUAUUCAAAUUAAAGAAUUUUGGUGAGCAAGAAUUUUGGGAGUAUUCUAAUUAAGUACAUCACAAGACUCUUUAGUUUACAUUAUGCAUAUCGUAAGUACGAAAAAUUGAGGUUGCAUUUGACUAUGACACGAUGACCAAAUCCGCUGAAUUAGAUAUUUUCAUUCUUUGGUGUAGGUCUCUAGUUCGAAUCCUGUACAUGUUGUAUAUAUAGGUUUUUCUAACAGAUGUAUAUGUACAUAUUUGGAAAAAAAAGGGCCAAGGAGUUAAUUUCAAUUGUUCUAUAGUUUAGGGGUUUCUAAGGAAAAUCCCAUAGAGUCGGCAUUGUGGCUUCCUUCGCCAGCGACUUCACCGAACUGCGGCCAAACGAACAGUUUCUGCAUGGAAUUCGCAUGAAUACGGCGGCGCAAGCUAUUUAGCCGCCGACUUCAACUAAACUCGGCAAGUUUAGUUGCUUCGCCGCCGACUUAGCCUCUACACUCCCCAUUGGCUCGUUAAGGUAAAGUCGGCGACGAAUUUGAUGCUGGUAUCCAAGAACGUGCGCUAUCCCUAGAACAAAUUUUCUUCUUUUUUUUCCCCCCAAAACUAGUUCUCUUUAUUAUUAUUUUUUUUCCUACUAAACUAUAAUAAAAUGCCAAGAAAUUAGAUUUGGUAAUUACUGAUUUUUUUAUAUAUUUAUGGAUGCUUUGAAGAGAAAGAUAUAACAUCCAUAUAUUUUCGCGAAAUAGAAGGAAUAAAGGACAAAAAAAAAAAAGAAGGUUAUUUGCAUAUACGUCCCUACAAACAUAGUGAAUUGCAGAUAUAUCCCUACAAAACGGAAACUCCAUAAGUUGUCCCUGCAAAAGUCACAAGUUAUGCAGAUAUGUCCAUACUGUUAGAGUCUGUUAGAAAAUUUUCAUUAACCAUGGUUAAAAUAUUUAACCAUGGUUAAUUAUAAUGUAAAUUUACGGUUCUACCCUUCCUCUUCCUCUUCCUCCUCUCCUCUUCCCUCUUCUUCGUCGCCGGCGAGGGAGAUGCGGCGGUGGCGGCGGACCCUCUCCCUCUUCCUCUUCCUCCUCCUCUUCCUCAUUCUUCUUUCUCUCCCUCUUCCUCUUCCCUCUUCUUCGUCGCCUGCGAGAGAGAAGAUGCGACGGCAGCGGCGAACCCUCUCCCUCUCCCUCUUUCUCUUCUUCUUCCUCUUCCCUAUUCUUCUUCCUCUCUUUCUUUUUCUUCCCUCUUCUUCGUCGCCGACGAGUCCUACCCGCGCCGUCGCCGCCGUCCGCUCCGGCGGCCCGAAGAGGAAGAGAAAGAGAAGGGGGAAGAGGAUAUUUUUGAAGGGACAUAUUUGUGAGGGUAAAAAUAUUAUUUUACAAAUUCGCUGUUAAAAAGUUAACAGUUCACUAACGGAUGUUAACCAGAGGGACAUAUCUGCAUAACUUGUGACUUUUGCAGGGACAACUUAUGGAGUUUCCGUUUUGCAGGGAUAUAUCUGCAAUUCACUAUGUUUACAGGGACGUGUAUGCAAAUAAUCCAAAAAAAUAAAGAAAAGAAAAGUUAUUAGUUCAAUUGCCUUGGCUUUAUAUCUUAUAUGAAAAUUUUAUUACCAUUUUCAUCGGAAAUUUUGUUUACCAUAAUGACCUGUUGUUUACAUAGGAUAACCAAGUUUUAUACUUUACAAAAACCUUGGAGAUCAACCAAAUAGAGCAAAUCAAAUUACUAGAGCUCGUAAUAAUAUAUAAAGGAUAAACACAAAGGUAAAUUAAAGGAUGUUUUGUUCCCUAGAAAAUAUCAUAGAAAACAGUUUUCUGACUAGAAACUUAUAUUUUCUAUCCGUUUGUUUCCCAAAGAAUUAAAUAGCUAGUUUUCUUGGAAAUUUUUUUUUUUCAUAUUAUUUUGGAAAAGUCCCCCUUUUUUUUUCGAAUUUUUAUCGAGAAACCAGAAACUACGAAAAGCCAUGUUUUUAUGAUUUUUUUAAGGAAAUACUUUUCCACAAUUUUCAAAGGAACCAAACACCCUUAAGAAUAGAUAUAUAGAAGGGCAUAUUAGCUAUAAAUGUAGUAUUUAUAUACUUUGUGGAUUCUCAAAUUGGGCUGCCCAUGGUUUCAUAUUUGGGUUAGUUUGGGUUUAGGUUCGAAUACAUGUUAAAUUGAAGCCCAAUAUUACUUCAAACUUUUUCUCUUUGAGGCUAUUGUUUCUACUCGUUGGCCCCUCAUAUAUGUGUGUGUGUGUAUAUAUAUUAAUAGGAGUUUAAUUUUUUUUUAAAAAAGAGAAAAGGUUGUAAAGGCACAUCCUAUAAAUGAAUUUUCUUUUUUUUGAAGAUGAUUUGCCACUGUAAAUAGAGUAGUGCUGGUCUUUAAUAGCAGCUUCCUAAUUUGUUAAAAUUGCUUUUCUAUUUGUGGCUACUCCACCACGCAUGAACCCUUGCUUUAAUUGGUGUUUGAACAUAUAUUUGUAUAUAUGUUGACAUACUUUUUCUUUUCUUUUCUUUUCCUUCUCUCUCCAUUCCUUUUGUGAAUAUAUAUAUAUACAGAAUAUAAUUUUACCUCAAAUGUCAUCCAUGUAUAGAGCUAAUUAACUAAUACAACGAAAAAUUAACUAAUUAGAAGGAAAAAUAUAGUUUCUUUCUUUUCUUUUAAGAAAUAUAUAUAUACACAAUUGUGUUGCUCCAUCUGUUUAUUAUGGCAAUUUUCUUUGGGAGCAUGCAUUUGUGAAUUCUCUUUUCAUAUAUAUGGAGAAAAAAACUAUUUACUUUUUGAGAGAUCGAGCAAUGGAGUAAUGGCCAUGUUAGUGUAACUUCUAUACAAGUUGCAAUGUGUGGGCACAUGCACUACACUAACAUGAGCACUAUUCUCAUUUGAAAGCAAUAGGACAUGAAAGAGGAAUGUUAUUAGGUAGUGGCUUCAAAAGCUCAAAGGUUUGAACACUUUAAAAUCUUUUGAUAGGAUUAAUGAUAAAACUUUAAAAGCGAGUGGGAAGCGAUUGACCAACCUUUGAUUAAUUUACUUCUUAACGAAUAAAUUUUAUCUAGAACAUGGUAUAUAAUUAGAGAUAUUUUGUAUCUUGUUUGAUAUUUUCCUACUAGUGUAAACUUGGUGUUAGUGCUCUUCGUGAAGUUCAAACCCAAAUAAACUUGGUUUAAAAUUUGUAAUUAACCAUUUUACUUGAAGUUGUCCCUCUAAAAUGAGACUAUUUAAUUAAUUCCCUUAUUUCCUAAUUACAAGAGUGAAAAAUACUAUGUAAGAUUUAGCCAUGAUUUUUUAGCAUAUUAGUAUCAUAUUAAAUGAAUUUACAGGGCAUACUAUAUAUACAAACGACAAAUUAGACGAUGUCUAGGUAUACUUAAUUGAUAAACCUAGAUCUAAUUAAUUCUUUGUAGGGAUUAGCUUAGGCACUUUAUUCUACACCACUAUCUUUAAUCACUUUAGCAUCAUUUGCUAUUUAUAAAUGGCAAAACAGUAAGUAGCUUACUCUUGAAGUUAGGUAAAACCAAGCAUGCAUGGAAAAAUUUGAGUUUCCAAAUGAUGGCAUCAUAGGUAUAUUUUGGUUACCUUGAAUAUAUGGAUUAGCAAAGAGAUAAGGUAGCAUCAGCAAAGUAUAAUAUAUUAUCUACAAGAUAAAAUCUAGUUCUAGUAAAUAUUCUACAAUAGUAAUGUUCUUUAAUUUCUAUAUCUCUCUUAAGCAUCUAGUGUUGGGAAUCCGGUACUCGCCCCGGUACCGGAUCUCGUGAAUCCGCAACCCGCUCCGAUACCGGCUGCUGUGGAUCCGGUAUCCAUUGUUUGGAUUCCGCAACGGAAGCGUCGAAUCGGGUUUUUACCAUAAACCCGUCUCCUCAGCAAAAGCUGAUACAAUCAUAAAAGAGAGAAAAAAUCAAAACAGAAAAUAUGCAGGUAAAAUAAGAUUCAUUAAAUAAGAGAAGAUUAUACCUGACUCCUCUUCUGCAACAGAGUAGCUACAACCCUAGCCCUCUUUUUUGAAUCUCUCCUACCUUUCUCUCGUCUUCUAUGAACCCACAAAGAAGACCUCUUCGCGUGCACCCGUGCAUAAGGUGCACUAAAAUAACUCUCUCUCUCUUUUUCUCUCUAUGGUACGGCACCCAAGCUUCAGCCGUACUGCCCUCAAAAAAGAGAGUCACAAUGACUAUUUAUAAUGCUCAACUUAAAACGUACCCCAAUCUUAAUAUAUUUAAGAUUCAUACUUUAAUUAAUAUCUAAAUCUAUCUUAAUCAAUCUCUAAUAGAUUUAAAUAUUAAUCCUAAUCUAGUUAGGUUUAUCCUCUAAUUAAUAUUUAAAUCUUAAUUUAUCUCAAACAGAUUUAAAUAUUAAUUCUUAUCCAAAUAAGAUUUAACUACAAAUCUAACCAAAUCCUAACAUUCUCUACCUUGGUUUGAUUUGAAAUUUUCAACCGCUACGUCAAGCUCACCAUGCAAGCUCCACCUUGAGCUUGUCUCCUCCGCUCGAUGUCGCCGCAUCCGUCGCUCUGUCUCGAGCAACUGCACAUCCGCGAACUUUUAGAACCCAAACUGUCUUCGCUCCCGUUCUGACUGUGCUCCCGUUCAGAACGUAUAAGUUCCCACGCUUGUUCGCCUCGCAUACGACCCGAUCUCAUUUUCGGACCCUCAUAGCUCCACCUGAAGCUGAAAUAUCGCAACCCUUCGAGUCCAAUGCGCCUAACGAGAUCAAAUUCCGCUUCAAUCCAGGAACGUGCCGCACACCUGUCAGCGUCCUCACGACCCCAUCGUGCAUUCGGAUUUUCACCAUGCCGACUCCCAAUACUUUGCACGCUGUCCCGUUCCCCAUCAGCGCCUUUCCACCUUUGAUCGCCUUAUAGGUGGCAAAAGACUCCUUCUCCGGGCAUACGUGAAAAGAACACGCCGAAUCGAGCACCCACGCAUCGUCCGAAAUUUUCGCACCUCCGGUCGCCGCAUACAGCACAUCAGAAUCGAUCAUCUCCGACUCUGCUGUCUGCGCCGUCGCUGAUACCGUCUCGUCCUGGUUCACGACAGUUUGCUCCUUCUGUCGCUUUAACUCCUUCAGAUCAUCCUGAAGUUUUCGACAAUUGCGCUUGAUAUGCCCCUUCCUGUGACAGUAAAAGCAUUCUACCUCAGAUAGCGGUUUCUUCUGUCGAUAUCCGGUCGCCGAUAUUCUCGCCUCCUUCUUCGCAGUCACCACCAGUCCUACAUCCUGACUUUGCGUGCCGGACUCCUGAGUCAUCUUCCGCAUCUCGUUCGAGAGAAGCGCCGCCGUGACCGCCUCCACGCUUAUGGACUCCUUGCCAUAAAGCAACGUGGUCACCAGAUGCUCAUAUGUCGUCGGUAGCGAAGAUAGUAGGAUCAACGCCUUGUCUUCGUCAUCCAGAUUGACUCCGAUGCUGGUCAACUGGGCCACCACCUUGUUGAACUCAUUUAGAUGAUCAUGUAGGCUCGCCGCUUCUUGCAUCCGCAACGUAAACAGUCGCUGCUUCAGAUACAAUCUGUUCGUCAGGGAUUUGGUCAUGUACAGAUCUUCCAAUUUCUUCCACAAUUUCGCCGGUGUCGUCUCGCCGGCUACAUUGUAAAGAACCUCAUCUGCUAAUGAUAGAUGAAGCGUACUCAGCGCCUUCCGCUCCAUCUUCGUCCAUGCCGCAUCCGUGACCUCCGCCGGCUUUGCCUCCUUCCCGUUCAACGUCUCGUCUAACUCUUGCUGUACGAGGAUUGCUCGUACUUUAAUUUGCCAUAAUCCGAAAUUGUUCUUGCCGUCGAACUUCUCGAUUUCGAAUUUCGUGGCCAUCUCCGUCGAUCUCUCCCGCAGAUCGGUAACCUUCGGCUCUGAUACCACUUGUUGGGAAUCCGGUACUCGCCCCGGUACCGGAUCUCGUGAAUCCGCAACCCGCUCCGAUACCGACUGCUGUGGAUCCGGUAUCGAUUGUUUGGAUUCCGCAACGGAAGCGUCGAAUCGGGUUUUUACCAUAAACCCGUCUCCUCAGCAAAAGCUGAUACAAUCAUAAAAGAGAAAAAUAUGCAGGUAAAAUAAGAUUCAUUAAAUAAGAGAAGAUUACACCUGACUCCUCUUCUGCAACAGAGUAGCUACAACCCUAGCCCUCUUUUUGAAUCUCUCCUACCUUUCUCUCGUCUUCUAUGAACCCACAAAAAAGACCUCUCCGCGUGCACCCGUGCACAAGGUGCAAUAAAAUAACUCUCUCUCUCUUUUUCUCUCUAUGGUACGGCACCCAAGCUUCAGCCGUACUGCCCUCAAAAAAGAGAGUCACAAUGACUAUUUAUAAUGCUCAACUUAAAACGUACCCCAAUCCUAAUAUAUUUAGGAUUCAUACUUUAAUUAAUAUCUAAAUCUAUCUUAAUCAAUCUCUAAUAGAUUUAAAUAUUAAUCCUAAUCUAGUUAGGUUUAUCCUCUAAUUAAUAUUUAAAUCUUAAUUUAUCUCAAACAGAUUUAAAUAUUAAUUCUUAUCCAAAUAGGAUUUAACUACAAAUCUAACCAAAUCCUAUCAUCUAGUUAAAGUAAAAGGAAAAGCAACAAAUUAAACACUGGUUACUGUUUUGAGGUCAUUAGCUCACUUUUUCCUAGUUAAAGAAGUAAAGUAAAUAAUUAUAUAUUUGAUAUCAUUUGAAGCUCACUUUAAUUAAUUGCAUGUAGGCAAGUGAACUCCCUCAAGAGAGUGAGAGACAUAAUAUUCAUCUCUUUCCAUUUUUCGCGUUAUUUCCAGCCCCACAAACCGACCAAAUCUUUUCGAUCUCUUUAGUUGUUAUCUUUAAUUCUUGCCUUUCUCUUUUUUCUUAACCUCAUCAAGCAAACAUUUUGAUGCUUGUAUAGUACAAAUUAGACUGUUAGCAGGUCGAUCAAUUAAAGUGCCUGCAAACAAAAUUAUAUUGCAAUUAAGGAAAGAGAAAACAAGAAUUUAUCAAUAAAGCUUCAACAUUCGAUAACAAGAAAAGAAAAAGUACUAUAUAUAGAGAGAGUGAGAUGCAUGAUAUAUAUAUAUAUAUAUAUAUAUAUAUAUAUAGAGAGAGAGAGAGAGAGAGAGAGAGAGAGAGAGAGAGAGAGAGAGAGAGAGUUUUAGAUAUACCCUAGUGCACUACAACAAAAACGGUUUAUAGCGACACUUUUAAAUGUCGGUAUAGGUCCAAAAAAGUGCUGCUGGCUAAAUUACCGACACUUUUAAAAAGUAUUGCUAUAUGUAGGGUCGCUAGAUAUAUAGUGACAGUUAAAGAGUGUCGCUAUAACCUAAAAAAGUGCUGCUAAUUUAGCAAUACUUAUUUAAGCAUCUAGCAACCGUCGGAACUCUAUCUCGUUGGCUGCGGUGGCGGAGGAGAAUGAGAGGGAAGGCCCCUUCGUCUAGAAUUUCAGUGGAUUGAGUGAGAGGAGAAAGGGAGAUGGUAAUCGAUUUUUCUUUUUUUUUUUUCUUUUCUAUUUAGAAUUGGGCCAAAUGGCUGAGUUGGGUGGGUUGAGUAUAGUAACCUUUUAUUUUUUGUUGGAUUCGGCUUUAUAUUUAGGCAUUAGUAGAUGUUUUUUUUAAUUUUGACAUAAAUGGAAUACUUAAACAAAAGUGUCCCAAACAUGUGUCCCUAUAACCUAAUUUUGUUGUAGUGGUGCUCCAAUGAAAGAGAAUAAAAGAUUCUUAUGUUCUUCUUUUCUUUAGGUAGUGUAUAAACUUAGUGGAAAUGUAAUAUAUGUUGGAUGAAACUUGGAAGAAGCAUAACUCUCAUACGAUGAUACUACGCCAGUGAAUGUUUCGUAUUAUACACAACGAAAAAGAAGGGAAGGUUUGUGACGGUAAAUCAAUCCAUGUGCUUGCGAGAGAAGAGAGAAUAAAGUGGAAAAAUAAGUGAGAGGAAUAGAACGCAGAGAAAUGAGAAGUAAAUAUAAAAAGAGGAAAGAGGAGAAUGUGUGGCGAUUUGAGAGUGUCUUACUUUGAUGCCUUGUAUUGAAAAGAAACAAUGAGUUGCUACAAGAAGGUAAAGAAAAAGAAAAGAGUGUAUAUUGGUGGGAUAUAUAAAUUAAUAGGACAAUGACUUAUUAGAUGUGGGGUAUAUAGCCUAUAUUGGUGGUUUCCCUUUGGAGAGCAUGAAAUUGGUGAGUUAGAUCAAUGUUCUUGAGUGCAUCAAAACCUUAAAGAAGUAGUAUAUCCAAAAGGUACCUGAGCAUAUUUGCUAUGUGGCAAUACAUAUAUAUGUUACAUCACAACAAUUUCUCUUAAUUAGUAUAGUGGAGUGUGAUCCACACCAUGCUCCUUAAAUAUUUCUUCUCUUUUUGGGGGGCAAAAUUACUAUCCAUGCUUGUGUCAAAACAGUCACUAGAGCUCAAUUAAAGUGUUCGGAUUAAUAAAGAUAAGAACAAAGCAUUUCUCCUUUUCUUUUUGAGAAGGAAAAUAUAUAGCUUUAACAAUAAUGCUUUUUUUGUGAAGAGUUGUGUGCCGACGCACGAAGGGAGCAUGAUCACUGUAAUUAGAGAAUAAUGCGUUAUAAUAUAGUGACCUCACAAAAGGAAGGGAGUGUCCUUGUCUAUACUAGGAGAACCUAAUCCUCCACUUUAGUGGUGUGAUGUAAAUAUGUUCUAGUAACGUUUCUUCUCACUUAAGAAAAUAAAAAAGGGACCAAUAUUGGAGAAGUGUUGUGAGAGGAUGAGGCUUUGAUGGUGAAACUAUGUUUGCUUGUUUUGUAAGGUCCAAACAUAUGAGUGAAGUAUAUUCUUCAAAUAGUGAAGUUCCUUGUGCAUUGGUUUGGAUUCAUCUAACUAGUGGAGGAGGUUGCUAUUUGUGGUUCCUCUUCUAGAAUGGUUUCAUUUCCUAGUCUAGAAAUGUCCUCCACACAAUAAUAUUCUUAUUUAUCUAGCUAUUUGGAGGUUAGUGCCAAACAACCGUUAUAUUCUAAGACUGCGUUUGGUUGGAGGGAUAUCCCAGAACAAGGAAGGAUAUCCCCCAAUCAAUACCCAAAUGAAAAAAAAAAAAAGAAAGGGGAUUCUUUGUUCCAGGCUUAACGGGUUGUUCUUGGAAGAACCCGUUAAGCCUAUUCUCCUCAGCUUGGAGAACUGAGCGGAACAACUUGGAUCCCCUCUGAAACUUUCCAUUUUGCCCUUUAAAUCUCUCGCCUCAAACGAACCAAAAAAAAUUAUAAAGAAAAUAUAUUGAAUGAUUAAUUUAAUAAGUGUUACUCCAUUUUAAAUAUUUAUAUUUUUAAAUUAAUUUUGAAUAAAUUUAAAUAAAUGUUUAAAUUGAAUACAACUAAAUUAAUAUUUUCAAAAUAAUGUACAAAUAUACUUAAUUUGUAAUUAAUUUAUUCUAAUACUUAAUUUAUUAAAUCAUAUUUAAUUAUUAUAUUCAAGGGCAAAUUUGUCAUUCUAUUAUAUUCAAGGGCAAAUUUAUUAAAUGUUUUUUUUGUUAUUUACUAGAUAUUGUUGAUAAGAGGCUUAGAUGUAUCAAAUUGUAUCAAAUUAGGCAAAAAAAUUGCUAUUUAAGUGAACCAAGCUUUUAGCAGAGUGAAAAAAAGUUCUUCUUAAAAUAGCAAGUGUCGUUUUAUCCUGCAUUGCAUGAUUCGUCAACCUUUUCUUCUUUUCUUUUUUUUUUUGUGAAAGGAUUCCAAAACCAUGCAUGAACAAAAAAUUAUGUGAUCUCUUUUGCUUUUAGGAUACUAGUCUUUUACCAGCAUUAAUUAAUACGCUUCAAUUACAAAAAGCACUUCAAUGUUAUUUACAAACUUGAAAAGGUGCUCUAUAUAUAUAUAUAUCCCCUCAAAUUUCUUGCUUAAUUUGGAGCUUAAUUAUAUAUAUGAUUAUUAAUUCUAUUGUAAAUAGUAACUCUCACUGUAUGUUUUGAUGGAGGAAGUUUUAUUGUGCCUAUCCUUCACUUUCGUAUAAAAUGACUUUGCCCUCAAUUGAAGGGAACACAACUUUCACUUAAAUUAGAGAUCAUGGUAACAAAUAAUCAAUAAAAUCGAAAAUCACUUUUAACCUCACUUACUCAUUAGCGACUUCCAUCAAACAAAUUAACAACUCCCAAUGUGUUAAAUAUAAAAAUAUUUAAACACCGCUCUUUGCAAGUUUAAGGAGGUCCUAAGUUCGAAUCAUCCCAGACUCGUUUAAUUCAAGUCCACAUAAUGUGCCUAUAAAAAGUUUCAAACCCAGAUGUGAGGUUGAGUAUUAAAUAUAAAAAUAUUUUAUAGUACAAUGUUUAUUUCACACAUGUUUAUUUCCUUUUGAUCACAUAUAUCUUAAAUUAAUAUAUCUUAUCUUAACAAAAAUUUGAAAAAUUACGAUUCAUUUUCAACUGCUGACACAGUUAGUAAGAAUAUUUAUUUCCGUCGUAGGUUUAGAUACCCUGGCUAAUUGCCAGCCAACCAUUUGGACCAAAAUAGUUUUACAAAAAGAAACAUGCAUCAAAGAAGCAAAGGCUCUUCUUAAUGGAUCCAUUAAUCAUGGACAAAAAAUUUGUAACUGUGAGCUUGUGCAACUGUGUUCUACCCUGUAUGCAUGUGACAAGAAAAGCAUAAAAAAGAAAAAAAAAAAGAAAAAAAAAAAGAAGGAUAGAUUGCGACAAUGAAGUGAAAUUCAGCCAAUCUCCUUAUUUCUUGGUAUGUAGGGUAUAACCAGUAGAAGAGGAUGCUUCUCUUUUAGAAGCUCAUUCUAGAGAGAGAGAGAGCCUUCUUUAUCCCAGGUAAUUCACAAGGAAUUUGAAUGAGUCCUAUCUUAUUAAAUUAUGUACAUUUAUGGAGAUUAAAUAUAGGGCUAUAUAGUAAUUUGAAAUUGUAAAAUGUCAAAAAAAAAAUGUUUUUGUGUUUUUAUGCAAGAUGGUAAUGUGCGGUUGGGCAUUAUCAUUCGUCAGUGUUACGACAAAUGCACAGAUGGAAACGAAAAUGACGAACAUGAAAUAAACAAACCACAAAUAGAAAUAAAAGAGAAUACACAGAUUUACGUGAAAAAUCUUUUGCAGGAAAAAAAAUCACGGGCGAGGGAUGAGAGAAUUUCACUAUCGAAAAAAGGGAAUACAAUGUUCAAGGUACAACCAGCAUCAAUCUGUCACCUCUAGGACAAAAACAAAAAAAAAACUCUUAACGGGCUUAUCGGCCCGAGUCCUCCGCUACCAACCACAGGCAUUUAUUUUUCCUUCUCAAUUUUAUUUCAAAAGCCGUACCGCGAAACUGCCAGCGAGUCAAAGUUUAGAACUGGAAUCGAUUAUCAAUUUCGAGUCAUAUCUAACGGUCAGAAAGAAUAUUUAUUGCAAAUAAGUCAUCAAGUAAGAGAGAGAGAGAGAGAGAGAGAGUUAAUAUAUAUUUUUCGGCCUGUUUCUUAUUAGAUUUAUCUUUUAGUUUAUAUGAUAUCAGAAUCAAUUUCAAGCUUCUUCAUUUUGUGAGGUCGUGGAUUCAUUCUUCACUUUUUAUACUUAACGUGUAAAAUUUUCACGCACCGAUGCAUAUUAGUGAAAGUGUUAAUAUAUAUUUGUUGAUCGUGACUAAAAAGAACUACCUACUAUUUAUUAGGAUCAUGGCCACAAGGUGUUGAAAUUAAUGGUCUUACAAGGCCAUCAAUUGCCUGGGAGAACACUUCUGCUAUCUAGACUUUUAAAAGAACUCAUCCUCAUUCAUCUCCCUUCUCUUACUCAAUUAGGUAACUGGAAAUUGGAACAUGAAGAAAGAGUGUGAUAGGUUAUCAAUCAAUUUGGCCAUAAAGGAAUCCUCCUAUCAAACCAUAUCUUAUUUACAAAGUAAUGAUAUGCCCUAAAAAUUAUAGUGGCAUGUGCAUUGACCUGUGUUGUUCCUAUGGCACUCAAUAUGCUUUGGGUUAUCCAUGGAUUGAAACUGAAAUGCCAAAUUUUUUGCUUUAAACCUUUCCUGGACUGUGGAAGAUAAUGUGGGACUAACAACUUGGCAUAUAACCACUCACUCAACCCUAGGGGGCUCACAUUGGUGCUAUUAAUAGUAUAUUAACCUAGUUCUCUCUCUCUCUCUCUCUCUCUCUCUCUCUCUCUCUCUAUAUAUAUAUAUAUAUAUAUAUAUAUAUAUAUAUUGGGUGCUAAUCUAAGGCUUUCUGAGUUUGUACACAACAAAGCGCUUAUCAACUUAAUUUCUUUUCGUAACUGCUGUUAGCAAGUGAUUAUCAAUAACCUAAAUUUCUUUGAGUACCUUAUCCUUUUCUCUUUGGAUUAAUGCUUGGAUACAAGUUUUAAGAUAUUUUGAGUAAUUAAUUUCAUUUUAAUGUGAGUGAUGGCCAAACCAACAUAAAUUUGUACUAGGUGUGGUUGGGUUAUCUUCAUCUUUUAUAGCUUUGAUGGUGAUUUGUUAUCAUGAUCGACUUCUCGAAAAUGAAGGAUAUGGAUAUAUAUAUAUAUAUAUAUAUAUAUAUAUANNNNNNNNNNNNNNNNNNNNNNNNNNNNNNNNNNNNNNNNNNNNNNNNNNNNNNNNNNNNNNNNNNNNNNNNNNNNNNNNNNNNNNNNNNNNNNNNNNNNNNNNNNNNNNNNNNNNNNNNNNNNNNNNNNNNNNNNNNNNNNNNNNNNNNNNNNNNNNNNNNNNNNNNNNNNNNNNNNNNNNNNNNNNNNNNNNNNNNNNNNNNNNNNNNNNNNNNNNNNNNNNNNNNNNNNNNNNNNNNNNNNNNNNNNNNNNNNNNNNNNNNNNNNNNNNNNNNNNNNNNNNNNNNNNNNNNNNNNNNNNNNNNNNNNNNNNNNNNNNNNNNNNNNNNNNNNNNNNNNNNNNNNNNNNNNNNNNNNNNNNNNNNNNNNNNNNNNNNNNNNNNNNNNNNNNNNNNNNNNNNNNNNNNNNNNNNNNNNNNNNNNNNNNNNNNNNNNNNNNNNNNNNNNNNNNNNNNNNNNNNNNNNNNNNNNNNNNNNNNNNNNNNNNNNNNNNNNNNNNNNNNNNNNNNNNNNNNNNNNNNNNNNNNNNNNNNNNNNNNNNNNNNNNNNNNNNNNNNNNNNNNNNNNNNNNNNNNNNNNNNNNNNNNNNNNNNNNNNNNNNNNNNNNNNNNNNNNNNNNNNNNNNNNNNNNNNNNNNNNNNNNNNNNNNNNNNNNNNNNNNNNNNNNNNNNNNNNNNNNNNNNNNNNNNNNNNNNNNNNNNNNNNNNNNNNNNNNNNNNNNNNNNNNNNNNNNNNNNNNNNNNNNNNNNNNNNNNNNNNNNNNNNNNNNNNNNNNNNNNNNNNNNNNNNNNNNNNNNNNNNNNNNNNNNNNNNNNNNNNNNNNNNNNNNNNNNNNNNNNNNNNNNNNNNNNNNNNNNNNNNNNNNNNNNNNNNNNNNNNNNNNNNNNNNNNNNNNNNNNNNNNNNNNNNNNNNNNNNNNNNNNNNNNNNNNNNNNNNNNNNNNNNNNNNNNNNNNNNNNNNNNNNNNNNNNNNNNNNNNNNNNNNNNNNNNNNNNNNNNNNNNNNNNNNNNNNNNNNNNNNNNNNNNNNNNNNNNNNNNNNNNNNNNNNNNNNNNNNNNNNNNNNNNNNNNNNNNNNNNNNNNNNNNNNNNNNNNNNNNNNNNNNNNNNNNNNNNNNNNNNNNNNNNNNNNNNNNNNNNNNNNNNNNNNNNNNNNNNNNNNNNNNNNNNNNNNNNNNNNNNNNNNNNNNNNNNNNNNNNNNNNNNNNNNNNNNNNNNNNNNNNNNNNNNNNNNNNNNNNNNNNNNNNNNNNNNNNNNNNNNNNNNNNNNNNNNNNNNNNNNNNNNNNNNNNNNNNNNNNNNNNNNNNNNNNNNNNNNNNNNNNNNNNNNNNNNNNNNNNNNNNNNNNNNNNNNNNNNNNNNNNNNNNNNNNNNNNNNNNNNNNNNNNNNNNNNNNNNNNNNNNNNNNNNNNNNNNNNNNNNNNNNNNNNNNNNNNNNNNNNNNNNNNNNNNNNNNNNNNNNNNNNNNNNNNNNNNNNNNNNNNNNNNNNNNNNNNNNNNNNNNNNNNNNNNNNNNNNNNNNNNNNNNNNNNNNNNNNNNNNNNNNNNNNNNNNNNNNNNNNNNNNNNNNNNNNNNNNNNNNNNNNNNNNNNNNNNNNNNNNNNNNNNNNNNNNNNNNNNNNNNNNNNNNNNNNNNNNNNNNNNNNNNNNNNNNNNNNNNNNNNNNNNNNNNNNNNNNNNNNNNNNNNNNNNNNNNNNNNNNNNNNNNNNNNNNNNNNNNNNNNNNNNNNNNNNNNNNNNNNNNNNNNNNNNNNNNNNNNNNNNNNNNNNNNNNNNNNNNNNNNNNNNNNNNNNNNNNNNNNNNNNNNNNNNNNNNNNNNNNNNNNNNNNNNNNNNNNNNNNNNNNNNNNNNNNNNNNNNNNNNNNNNNNNNNNNNNNNNNNNNNNNNNNNNNNNNNNNNNNNNNNNNNNNNNNNNNNNNNNNNNNNNNNNNNNNNNNNNNNNNNNNNNNNNNNNNNNNNNNNNNNNNNNNNNNNNNNNNNNNNNNNNNNNNNNNNNNNNNNNNNNNNNNNNNNNNNNNNNNNNNNNNNNNNNNNNNNNNNNNNNNNNNNNNNNNNNNNNNNNNNNNNNNNNNNNNNNNNNNNNNNNNNNNNNNNNNNNNNNNNNNNNNNNNNNNNNNNNNNNNNNNNNNNNNNNNNNNNNNNNNNNNNNNNNNNNNNNNNNNNNNNNNNNNNNNNNNNNNNNNNNNNNNNNNNNNNNNNNNNNNNNNNNNNNNNNNNNNNNNNNNNNNNNNNNNNNNNNNNNNNNNNNNNNNNNNNNNNNNNNNNNNNNNNNNNNNNNNNNNNNNNNNNNNNNNNNNNNNNNNNNNNNNNNNNNNNNNNNNNNNNNNNNNNNNNNNNNNNNNNNNNNNNNNNNNNNNNNNNNNNNNNNNNNNNNNNNNNNNNNNNNNNNNNNNNNNNNNNNNNNNNNNNNNNNNNNNNNNNNNNNNNNNNNNNNNNNNNNNNNNNNNNNNNNNNNNNNNNNNNNNNNNNNNNNNNNNNNNNNNNNNNNNNNNNNNNNNNNNNNNNNNNNNNNNNNNNNNNNNNNNNNNNNNNNNNNNNNNNNNNNNNNNNNNNNNNNNNNNNNNNNNNNNNNNNNNNNNNNNNNNNNNNNNNNNNNNNNNNNNNNNNNNNNNNNNNNNNNNNNNNNNNNNNNNNNNNNNNNNNNNNNNNNNNNNNNNNNNNNNNNNNNNNNNNNNNNNNNNNNNNNNNNNNNNNNNNNNNNNNNNNNNNNNNNNNNNNNNNNNNNNNNNNNNNNNNNNNNNNNNNNNNNNNNNNNNNNNNNNNNNNNNNNNNNNNNNNNNNNNNNNNNNNNNNNNNNNNNNNNNNNNNNNNNNNNNNNNNNNNNNNUUUAUAAAUUAUUUAAAUCAAUAAACUCAUUGUAAAUCACUAUGUUAUUCAAAAUAUUUAGAAAAAAUAUUUUCAAAUUUAUAUGCUUCAUUUUAUUAAAAAUAUUUACAAUAUCAAAUUUAAAUUUUAAUAUAAAUAGAUGGAUAAAUAUGAUAUCAAAAAUAAAAUUUAAUUAAUUUAAAUUUAAAUCAGAUUUAUUUUUAAUAUAAAUAAAUGAUAGAAAUGUAACUUUCACAUAUUUGAUCAUAACAGUUAUUUUUAGUUUCAAUAUUUUUUACUAAUUGAUCAUAACCGUUCUAGAAUUGAAGUUAUAGAUAAGUAUAAUAUUUUUUUUAAUAAAUUGGUCAUCAAUCGUCGUUGUAUUUGAGAUAUUUUUUACAACUUGAUCUUAAAUUGCUAAUAUUAUUAAUCAAAUAGUAUGAUACAAUUUAUCAAUCAAUCUAUUUUUUAUUUUUAAAUUAUUUUCAUUGUAAUAUAUUGAUAGUCCCAAAAUUUUAAAUUUUAAAUUAAUUUUAAAUUUUGAAUUGAAAUAUAGAUUUACUGUAGAUAUUCUGGCAAAAAUUUGGAUAAGCAUAAUAUUUUUCUAUUUUAGAGAUAAAAAAUUAAAUAAUUUUUUAAUUAAAAUAUAGAUUCACAGUAGAUAUCUUUCGGUUGGCAAAAAUUUGAAUAAGUAUAUUUUUUUUCUAUUUUAGAAAUAAACAAAAAUUAAAAGUUUGUUUCAUUACGUUACUUAUUUUACGUAAGGAAAGAGGAAUCGAUAGUUUUUUCCGCUAAAAAAUGGGUUUGUCGACAGACCCAAAUUUGAAAUACGUGCUUUUAUAUAUAGUAUAGAUAUAUAUAGUAAAAUGUACGUGCAAAUGCAUAUAAUAAUUAUUAGAAAAAAUUAUAAUUUUUUUAAAUUAUUUUUUAAUUUUAGGCCAUAUUUUAUAUGAUUGCCAAAUAUGUAUCUAAAAAAUUUAAAAUAAUAAAUCACGAGAGAGAACCUUUGGAAAAAUUGGGUUUUCAAGAGUAUACAUUAUUCUAUUUAAACAGUAUAUUAGACGUUUAUAUUGAAUGGUUUGAUACAGAGAGAGAAUCAGAUUUUAUGCUGUUAAUGGGCAAAGGGUUUAGCAGAAACUUAAUAGCAUGGAGGUUACAAUUACGAUAUUAAUACAAAAGGUGAUUAAUCAUUACAACAAUGGUGGAACACCAUUAAUAUACGACGGUUAUAUCAUUUUUUAUGUAAAGAGACCAAGUGGAAUACAUGAAUGAAGAAAGCACAACUAGAGAGAGUGAUAUGGAUUAUAGUGUAAAAGGUCUCCAAGAGGGGUAUGAAAAAAUAAACCCCCAAAAGGCCACAUAUUUAAUGGGUCAUAAGGGGAGAUAUAAUUAGCUACACUAAAUUAAGCUUAGUUAGGCUCGACUCCCUGAUAUACACGCCAUAUUAGCCAAUGGGUACAAGAUCAAUACCAAUGAUGUGGCGCCGGAAAAAAUAUUGAUGGUGAUAUCUUUGGAAUCAAUAUUACAUAAAAUCAAGCGAAGAUGCUGGUUUCAUUUAAUGUAUUUACUCUUGGAGUAUUAGGUAUUUAAAAGACUGAAGGGAUUUGAAGGGUGGUCUUGCACGUGGCAGACGAAAUUAUUUGUGCGGGUUUACAUUUACUCUUAUAUAGCCAGGAUUCAUAAGACAUUUUUUUGUAUCGGAACAGCAGAUAAAAAAACAAUGAGGUCGUACUAAUUUUUCAUAAAUUCAACCAGAAUACCACAAUUGGGUCUGGCUCGACAGAGACCCAACAUUUUAUAAUAUUACGUACUAUGGGGUUAUUAAUGAUUUCAUUUAUGCCAUGUUUAGUCCUUGUUAAAGAUCAGCCUUGACGUAAAAUAAUCUCUUUAAUCGGCACAUGACUAAUUAUAUUAAUAAGUAUAAACUUGAUAGCAUGUAAGAUGAAAUGAGGAGACGAGAGAGCAGAGAGAAGCCUGAGCUAGAAUAUAUUAACAGCGUCAUGAAACAUAGUUAGCAAUAACGGGACGCGCUCGCUAUUUUCUCACUAUCAAAUCUUCGGAUUAGAUGAAGAGCUUGCCAACACUAUUCUGAGAUCGGCUCCGUUAUAAUAUGAAUUAAACUAUUUAAACUUCUAGAAAUCAAAUUCCCGCACUUUCGCAUGUUGUUAUUUAUCGCAUCAAGUGAACAGAAAAAUGUAAUGGCUGAAAAUAUAAUAUUGUGCAAAAAAUGAGUGAAUAGGAGUCUUAAUAAUCAAGAUCAAGAGUAUAGAUCCUUUGUUUUAAAUAGUUUAAAGAAUUUUUCUAACCAAAAAUUCAAUUGAUUUGGAGUAUUUUACGCAUUAAACGGAAAACGUCUCUUUAUUGANNNNNNNNNNNNNNNNNNNNNNNNNGACUAUUAAGAAACAUAUGCAUUUAAUGAUAAAUAUUACAAUAUUCUAAAUAGCAAAAAUACUUUGAAUUGAAAUAGAACAAUAAAAUCCUGUUAGAAAAUAAAUUUUGACAAUAAAUAGACAAAUAAAAUCCGCUUAUCUUAAAAGAAAAUUCAUAUUUUGAAUUAAAUACUAAUAUCUAAAACCAUAUUUUUAAAUUAAAUAGAACAAAUUAUCUUUUUAUAGGAUUUUCACACCCGUAAUUUUAUAUUAAAACCCUUACUUUGAAAUUAAAAUAGAAAAUUUAUCAUUGCAGUAUUUUAAGUCCCUCCUCCACUUCGGUAGUCUCUAGUAAACUUAAACUAUUCAUUGCUGUUUUCCGAUCAAGUUUUCUUCUAUUUGGUUCUUGCCUAUCUAGUUUAUUACCGCGGCGAUGCGCGGAAUAGUUUUAUCGAAAUAUUUAGAUUUUAUUCAAUUCCAUCACUCUGAAAGUAGACACUAUAAAGAUUAACAGAAAAUACUGUAAAUUAGUUUAAACAUUAGAUCUAAGACAAAUAGAGAAAACAGAGACGAGAAAAAUAAAGCCGAGAAAGCUUCAUUUACAUGGUUUCGGUCUCUAAAAGUGACGACGGCUCUGCACCGUUUCAUACGGCCUCGAUCUCCAUUGCCAUGCCGCCGUCUUUCUUCACAGCCUAUACGAUCUCCCCGUACAUCAGAUUUUACCGCCUCUUGCCGCUAUGACUAAAAGCAUCAUCCCAACCACUCAUGGCUGAAAUGAGAAAGAUAAUAUGCAAUUCCACAGUGAAUUAGAAAAACAUUAAAAAUAAAAAUACGAUAUUUCUACACUCUUUACUAAUGCAAGAAGGUUUUUAACUUUAUUAAUGAAGAAACAAGACAUUAGGCUUUCAUUUUAUUGACCUAAUAGGAGAGCAUAGAGCUUUUGCACUACGUUUUAUCUUUACGAUUUGAAUGUCGUUAUUUCUUUCUGUUCUUUCCCUUUGACCAUUAAAAUUACAAAUUUUGAAACCCUUUGAUCAUUAGGCAAAUGAUGUCGAAAAGAUUUGAAAUUUGAUUUCUAAACACUUCAAGUGGUAUAGAUCAUGUUCAAUGGAGCCGAUCGUCAAUUUGGAAGCUCUAUCAUCGAAAACAAAUAGGUAGUAAAACGGCUCGUUUACUACUGAUAGUAUUCUAGCAAAACUCUCUCUCUCUCUCUCUCUCUCUAUAUAUAUAUAUAUAUAAGAAAAUUCAAAGCAUUUUGAAGUAGUUUUGUAUAGUUGUUAUUGGUACAAAUGAGUUUGAAUCUCUCUACAACUAGUGAAUGUGGAAUCUUUGGCAAUGCUCUCCACGUACACACACAUAGGCCUCUUGUACGUGGUCUACAUUAACUGACUUGUCUUUUUUCUUUUUUGUUGAGUACUAAAAUUUCAAAGAAGUGGUCUCACAUUUUGGAUUAAGAGCCUACGUACAAUGUACAUCAUUUAUCUAUGAGAGGUGUACAAAUAGCAUUUUCCAAAAACUUUUCCCUAUAAUCAAUAGCACUCAAAUUAAUUAUUUGGUGGCUUCCUCUUAUUCAAGUUGUUAUUCCUCUCAAUGUUGUUUGUACUUUUUUAGGAUCUCACCACUGUCAAAUACAUGCAAAUGGCCCAUUUAAGUACUCUAUAGGCAUUCAAUUAUAAGAGCUAAGUGUUACUAGUACAUAAAAUGUCAAAAAAAACAUCAAGCAUGCAUGAAUAAUUGGGGCCAUUUAUCAAAAUGUAUACUCUUAAUUAUGUCUCCGAUAUCAUCUUGGUUAAUUGUUAACUGUUUGAGAUACCCUUUAGUCACUAAAUUCUUGUGACUAUGUUGCAAAAAUUUGGUAAAACUAUAUGAUCACAAACUAUGUUGUAUUUUUGAAAUGGGCGUCGGAACUUUGCAAGUUUUGUUUUCAGUACUUAGUCUAACAGUGUGAUUGAUAUAUAUAAAUGUGUCUCUAUUUUUAAUAUUUUUGAUAGAAUACUUAUAACCAAAAUAAAUAAAUAAAUAAAUGCAGAUAAUUUGAAUCAGCCUUGAAUUUUUAAUUAAAAUAAAUGCCUCAAACUCUAAAUUCUCUUGCUUUGAUAAUAAAUGAAAAAAAAAAAAAGAUUCCUCUAGAAGAUUAAAUAAUUAGGAAAUUAAUUGGUAUUGCAAUUCCAAUCCAGCAAAUGCCAAUUAAAUUAUCCGCCGUCGGAUCUCCGAUCAAGUUGUCAUUGUGCAUGAGCCCUAAUCUCCAAACUAGGAAUUUCUUACACAAGUGAUCCUAUUACAAGAUUGCAUAUCCUUGCUUGUUGGAAAUUAACAUCCUAUAUUUUUUUUUUCCUAUGUUAUCAUAUUCUUGUGAUUCAGUUAAGAGGGGCCCCGUUAAAGUGCCCUAAUUAACUAUGGUUCAAAAGCUUAAGAGACCAUUGAUUCUCAUUUUGACCAAAAUCUCAACAAAAGAGAUAUUAUUCUAAGUAAAGCAUGAUUAAUGAUAAGUUUAUUGUCGAAGUGGGGCAUUUAGAACAAUUUUAUACUUAGGACAUAAGUAAUCAUGUUAAUAAUAUAAUACGUAUUACUAUGUGAUGCAAUAUUUGCAUAGAAAUGUUACAAUAUAAUUUUCUCUAGUCUCAUAUUUCGGAACCGUGAAAAGGAAAAUACGGAAAUGAAACAGUUUCUAGGAUGGAAAAAAUAAAUAAAUUUUUAGUGGAAAAACCUUUUAUGUCCUUUUUAGCUAAUGAAAACAUUAAUUUUCUUAAUUAAGUUAAUUAAAUAUCUUCCAUCAUCCUCCCUGAUCACUUCUUUAUUUUCUCCUCCUGUAAUUCAAACCAAAUACGAACGUUUCAGAAAAUAUUUUUAUUUUAAAAUAUGUACUAAUAACCACAAAUUUCAUUCUUUUUUUUUUUCUGAGAACUAUAUAUUUUCAUUUUUUGCACAAAAAAGGAGGUAAAUUAGGAAAUUAAUAUAAUGUAGUCUCUUUUGAUUAGCAAUGAUUAAACUAAUUUAAGCAUCUUUUAAUUGCUAAUAUAUAUGGAGUUCAACCAAUUGGGUGGCAUAUAAUUAUUCGGAAAUAAAGCAUGCAAAUAUAUAUUGGGGAUUGAGAAUUGGACAAAUGUAUGGUGGAGGAACAACCAAUCAGAAUGUGACAAGUCAUCAACUGUGGGCCCCACAAAAGAACAGGACAAUGGAUGUGGACCGUUCAUUCGCAUCAUGUCAUCAUGUCAUCAUGUAUUGGAGGAGAAUCCAAAUGCCAUCAUCAAUGGCUUGAAACUUCUAAUUCCCAAAAAAUAAAUAAAUAAAUAAAUAAAUAAUAAAAAAAAAUGCUACAUGCAUAUAUUCCAAAAUUUCAAUAUAAAUCUUAGGGGCAAUUUCACUUGUACCCUUCUAAGUUCUGAAAUUUCAUUGAUGUCCUCUCAAUUUUUGAAAUUUCAUGAAUAACCCUUCAAAUUUCAAAUAUGUUUCAUCAAUAUGCCAUUCUCAAUUUAAUAUUAAUUUCUAUACAUUUAAAAUAGAAUUAAUGUGACCAUUUUACCCCUACUUUUGAGUAUUCUUUAUUAGAAUAAAAUAGGUAAAGAUAUAAGAAUUAAUUUCACUUGUAACCUUCUAAAAUUAAAAAAAAAUACUAUAAAUAUAUUUAUAAAUAUGGCUACCUCCAGAUUAGUCUUUAAAAUAUAUAAUUUCUUACAAAUUAAUAUAUUGUCACUAGAAAUAUGUGAAGACCCCCUCAGCUGAAUUCUUGUGAUUUUUCUAUAACUUUAUUUUUUUUACUUAUUAAAUUAAAUAAAAAUAUUAAAAAUUACUUUAUAUAUUAUAUGGAUAUUUUAUCUUAAAAUUUUUAACUAAUAACUUCUUUUGUAAUAUGUGCUAAAUGAGAUAGUUCACACAUUAUAUUAGUUUACANUUUAGUUGUGAACUGUUUAACCUUUUUUUUUUUUUUUUACUUUCCUCAUAUUUUAUAAAAUUUCUAGUUUAAGUUUUUAUAUUAAUUUAUAUUUGAAAGUUUGUUUUAGCUGAAUUUAUAAAAACUUUCUUUAAAAUUAUAAAGCAUUCUUAAAUUUAAAGGAUAUUUAUGAAACUAUAUUUGAUAUGUGGCUACUGGAUUGUUUUCAAUGAGGGCAAAAUAGGAAUUCCAUUUAUAGAAAUGUAAUUUCUGAUAAAAAAAAUAGCAAGUAGGGUUAUUUUUGAAGAUUUCUUACACAUAGAGGGUCAUUUAUGAUAUUUUAAUUUUUAAAGGGGUAUAUAUGUAAUUAUAUAGUAAAUUUUCCCUUGUUUUUUUAUCAUUUUAAGGGUUCUUUGGACACUCCACUUUGAUGGCUAGUGAAUUAAAGUUUAAUCAUAGUUAGUUAACCAUAAACUCUGAACCCUAAACUUUAAACUCUAAACGUAGUGCUCUCUUUGCUGUAAGAAUAUUUAUCUUAAGAUUUUUCAUAAAAGAUAAAUAUUCUUACAGCAAAGAGAGCACUACGUUUAGAGCAAGAUUUUUCAUAAAAAUGACCGACCGUCCCUAAAGCAAGUGUCAAAGGGCUUAGUGGCUGGUAUCUGAGACCCAAGUUCGAAUCUUAGUUGAUUCACAUUUCUAGUUAAGUUUAUUUUUAAAUGAAAUAAACGAAGCGGGUAGCGUGCUACCUAUCUCUCUCAAAAAAAAAAAAAAAGAUUUUUCAUAGAAAUGCAAAUUACUAUUACCACCUAUUCUUCAAGGGACGGUGAUUUGGUAUUUUGCAUAAAAACACUGCUCUCGCAAAGCACUUACGCACUCAAUACUUGAUUAGAAAGCUGGAUCAAAUGAGUCACCGAUAAAGAUUUUAUUUGAUUGAAAGGGACGACUUUUAAUCGAUAGCUACAUAAAGUUUAGGCAUUACUAAACUCCAAAACACUCAUCUUUUUUGUUUUCUAUGAAAAGACUCUUAAUCUAAAAUUCUAAAUAUUCUUAGCACUAUUCUUAAUUAAUCAAUCAUUAGCUCAGCGCAUCCUUCUAUUUAUUUGUAAGCAAAUGAAAUAGAACAACUAAUUAGUAAUCUUUGGGAUUCAUUGAGCCAACACAUAUGGUAAAUCGUGCUAAUCGCUUAAAUAUAUAUCAAUUUGGUCGAUUGAUCAAUUUUAUUUACCUAACACGUAACUAAAAAAAAUACUUUGGAUUAUUAAUUUCAAACUAGUGUUUACAUUAUACAUGCCAACACAUUAAACAAGUUAUAAUAAAAAAUUAAAAAAAAAAAAAUCUGCCUCGAAAAGGUGUCUCCCCUUAGACUUUGGAUUCAUGUCACCACCCCCACGUGCGGUGGAUACAUUGAAAUUCCACACCACACGUGACCCCAAAAAUCUACUUUAACUAUUACAAAAUUUGAAAAAUGCUAUUUAUACAUGAUGUAAAUCUUAAAAUAAAAAUUUUAUUGCAGUAAUUUUUAAAAUAAAAUAAUUUUAUCCACCGUCCAUCACGUGGGCUGGCACGACUCUAAAAGCGUAAUGAACGGUAGAGGAAACUGUCUAACUACGAAGAAUUAAUAUUUCUAUAAGUUUUUUGUCCUAAAUCAUCCCUAAAUGUUUUAAAAAGUCCUUUUACAUCUUUAGUACUAAAAAUUUUGAUGAGAUUAGUGAGUAAAUAUGAAUUUUUGAAAGAUUAAAGCCUAAGCUUUACAUCCUAGCUUUAUUUUUUAAAAUUUGGGUAUUUUCUAAUCUACUUUUGUGUGAUUUAGCGUCUAUUUAGUUUAUCACUCUAUAACUUAAGAAGUUACUCUUAAUUAUCGUAUAAUUAUAUUCUUAUUAGAGCCAGCAUUCUAUCCUGUAGCAGAAAGCUUUGAAAUUACUGAUUAGCGCCAACGAUCCGACACGACGUGCAAUUUAUAUCUCAUUUCUUAAAUGUACAAAUAAUAUUUCUCUUAUAAUUUACUAUUUAGUUCUAUAUCCCCCAAUUCAAAAUAACUAGUUAAAGCUGGUCAAAUAAUAAUGAAGAAACAGUAGAAGAGGCACAACAACAAUUAAUAUAGCAUGGCUUUUUCGAAAGAAAAUUAAUUUUUUUACCAUUAUUUGUUACAAAAUAAACAGUUGCAAACCAUCAAAAAUAAUUUUUAAUAUUAAAAAAACUUAUCAAAAUUACUAGUGUGCCUGCACUGACAGACCUGAUAGAAUAUUUUAUCAGAACUCUUAAUAUAUAUAUAUAUAUAUAUAUAUAUAUAUAUAUAGAGAGAGAGAGAGAGAGAGUGAGUAUGUCUCUUAUACUUUCGAAAAUACGGAGGUUUCUGUGCUUAUAAAUUAUUUUCGAUAAUGAAAUAUUCGAUUCGACGAUCAGUUUCAUUAAGUAUGAUCUACGCUAUUAGUACUAAUUAAAAAUAAAUUUUAUAAUGUUUCGACAUUAUCUACCAAGUGAUCAAGAAAUCUUAAAAAUGACUAUUUUAAUGACCAAUAUGACACGUUUGUAAAUUAAAUAGUGUAGAAGAAUCCAAAUUAUAUGAAACUUCAAUAGAAAAUUAUACUUAAGAUCAAGAAUGAAAAUAAUACUUCCGAUUUGAAAUUUAAGUCUUUUAUAAUUAUUUUUUUUAUAAAAUUUUUAUUUUCAACCGUUCAUUUCGAAGCUAUUUAUUCACUAGGCAAACAAAAUAAGAAAAUUAUGAAAUUUGAUUUCUAAAUAGUUCUAAUAAGCGUAGAUCAUAUUUUAUGGAGCCGAUCGUCGAAUCGAAUGUUCCAUCAUCGAAAAUAAUUUAUAAUCAUGAAUUCAAUUAUUUAUUUAUUACUUGCUAUAGUUAGGACUUAGGAGACACACCCUUUUCUAAUUUCCUAAAUUUGAUUUCACUUUGAUAUACCCAAAAGAAAAAAAAAGAAGAGAUUUUGAGGAGGGCAGAAACAGUAUGUCAGGGAUUUUAAUUGCUCCCAACCAUUUCAGUGUCUGCUCACCAGCUGGAUUUGGAGUCUUGCACCAAACCCUCUUUCCAGCCCCCACAUGCCCCAUCCCUCCCCACCAUCUUCUUCCCUUCCUCCCCCCCUACCCCACAACUUUUUUUUUCUUUUUUUUUCUUUUUUUUCUUUUUGGGUGGAGAAAAUAUCCUCCCCACUUUUAGACCAACCUUGGCAUAGAUUCCUCCCCCACCCUCUCUUGCCUUCAACUAAUUUUUGUUUUAAUAUAUAUAUUAUAUAUUCAUAAUUUUUUUUUUUUUUUGAUAGGAAUAGAUAGCAAGCUAUCUGCUUCAUUCAUUAAGCAAAUAUAUUAAUAUUAUUCUAAUAAAUUACUCAUAUACUAUAUAUAUAAUAUAGUUUCUGAUUGAAUAGUAUACUGAUAUAUAUCAUAUAUAAAUUAAUUUAAUAUAAAAUUUAAAAAAUAAUUAUAUACUCUACGUAAAAAAAUCCCAAACAUCUUCUUCUUAAUUUCUAUUUUUUUCUCUCUCUCUCUUAAUUUUUUUCAAUAAAUAAUGCUCCUAAAUAUAUCAAAGUUCACAUUAUAAAUUAACACAUCAUGAAUAACAAAGCAUUAAUUACAUUUUUCUAAUUUCCAAAUCCCAUUUUCUAUAGAGAAAUAUAUCCUUUUUACCCUUCUAUAUUCCACCCCCUUCUACCAUCCAUUCCCCUUCCCCCCCCACCACUUCUCCUCCUGCCAUUCUCUUUUUCUUCUUCUUCUUCUUCUUCACCUCUCAUUUCCUCUUCCUCUUUGUGGUUUGGGUGAUCUCUUGGAAUCAAUCAGCUUUUCCCUUCAUAGAAACCACAGAACCUCAGAAGCAGAAUCCAAUUCCUCUCCUAAUCCCCACCCUUUGCUUCCACUGGUGGGAACCCCCUCUCCUUUUCCCCCCUCCUCCUCCUCCUCCCCCUUGUGCUUAUUCUUUAAAAAGCCCCACUCUCUCUUCACCUCCUCUCCCACCCCCCACCCACACCCCAAGAUCAAAUUUUGAUCAUCACCAACCUCCCAAAAUCCCACCUUUUGUUGGUUUAUUUCUUCUUCGAUCUCACAUGCAUGCAUGCAUAUGCUCCUCGAUCUCCUAAUUAAUGUUCUCAAUUCAUGUCUCCUUUCCUAAGUGAACUCCUCCUCUCCGGUUACAUAAUCAACUCCUCACUUCGACGCAGAACCCACAUGGCUCAAUCCUUCUCCGUGGUCUUCCUCUACUGGUUCUAUGUUUUCUCAUAAACUGCUUCCCCAAUCCAUCCUCCCUAUAUACUAUAUAUAUACACUUCUUUAGUUACUUAUAUAAGUUUCCCAAGCAAUUAUAUACUAUUACUAUUAUUAUUAUAAAAAUAUAUAAAUAUUAUCAUGGGAUCCUCUAGUGGGGCUUCAACAGCUGGGUCGAUCACCCAGAUUAUACAGAAUUCAGGAUCCGACGAUCGAGAGGAUCUGCAAGCGGUGAUGAGGAGGAGGAAGCAGAAGAGGAUGCAGUCGAACCGCGAGUCGGCGCGGCGGUCGCGCAUGCGGAAGCAGAAGCACCUGGACGAGCUGGCGGCGCAGGUGAGCCACCUGACGGAGGAGAACGGCCACGUGCUCAUGGCCGUCAGCUUCACCACGCAGCAGCUGCUGGCGGUGGAGGCCGAGAACACCCUCCUCAGGACUCAGGCGAUGGAGCUGAGCAGCAGGCUCCACUCCCUGAAUCAGAUCUUGUGCUGCAUGAACGAUGCUGCUGCUGCUGCUGCUGCUGCUGGUGGUGUUCAUGGUGGUGAUGAGAGCUACGUGAUGAUGAUGAGGCCACUGAUCAUGGCUUCUGAGGAUAUGGUGCAGUUACAGUAUUGUUGAGUUAUCAGGGAAGGAGCUAGCUCUAGCUCUAUUUGUUUUUUCUCCUUUUUUUUUUUUUGGGUGGUGGUGGUGGUGGUGGUGGUAGUGUUUGUGAUGGGUGGUGCAUGUGUUUGUAUUAUUAGAAGAGUUUUACUAUGGGGGAGCCAAAUUAAGGGUGAAGACCAUGAAGUGUGGUGCAUAUUUGGGUUCUUAAUUAAGAGAGCCAUGCAAGUGUAAUUUAUCUCUCUCUCUAUGUAAUAAAUAUAGUUCAUGCAAACCCCCUCUCUAUACACACAAUAAAAAAAAUAAAUGUUGGGAAAGUGCAAAAGCUAAGUUUUUGAAUGUCCACUAAUGGUAAAGAACUCGACGGUUAGUAAUUGAUAUUUCAAAUUGAGUUAGGCUACUAUGCUAUCGGAAGCACGGAGCCUUCCGUGCUUCCAGCUCGUUUUUGAUGUUGCGACUUUCGAAUCGUCGAUCGGCUCCGUUAAACUUGAUCUAGAGUAUUUGAAAUACCUAGAAAAUAAAUUUUAUUAUUUUUCGAUAUCAUUUGCCUAGUAAUCGAAUGAGCUUAAAAUCAACAAAUUUCAACGGUCGUAGUGAGCCGUUUGCAAGUUUAACGGUGUAGAAAUAUCCAAAUCACGCGAAAUUUUGAUAGAAAAUUCUUUGUACUAUAUAAAACACGAUCAAUAUCUUUGAUUUAAAAUUUUAAUGUUAUAUUAUUACAUUUUGUAAGAUUUUUAUUUUCAGCCGUUGAUUUUGAGCCCCUUCGUUCACUAGGCAAAUAAUAUCGUAAAAUCAUAAAAUUUAUUUUCUAGGUACUUCAAAUUCUCUAGAUCAAGUUUAACGGAGCUGAUCGACGAUUCGAAAGUCGCAAUAUCGAAAACGAGCUGGAAGCACGGAAGGCUCCGUGCUUCCGAUAGCAUAGUAGCCUCACUCUUUCAAAUUUAAAACUUAGUGAUUCACAUUAUUAGUUAAAUAUAUUUUCAGAUACUAAAAUAACAAAGCGGGUGCCGGGUAGGAUUGAAUACAAACUUCGUGUCUUAUUGCAAUAGAUUGACUAGACUAAUAGCUUGUUGGUGCAUGUGUCAGCUGGGAGAUCAGAAACAGUAUGAUCUUUAGAAAGAUCCAACCGAACCCUCUUCUAGCAGUCUUCAAGAUCAAGCAGUUAAAGAACCUGUGGGGACAAUUUUCUUUGUAAAACAACACUAAGUCUGAUGGUUUUUUUUUUAUUUUUCUUUUUUCGUUCGCGUUACCUGAGGCUGUCCGCUGCCUCACCCAUGUAGCCUCAUUCAUCUAUCUUAUGAAUGAAGCGGGUAGCACGCUACCUCUUUCUCAGAAAAAAAAAAAAAAAAAAAAAAAAAAAAAAAAAGAAAAGCUAUUUGACUCAGUUGGACUUAAGCUGUUUCUUUCUCUCCUAAAAAAAAUUAAAAAGCUAUUUAACAUGUUGGACUUGACCUAAAACAGCUUAGGCACUUUGGUCUUCUAUAUAUGUCACUUAAUACUAUACUAAUUAAUCUAACUAGAUCAAAGUUGGUAAAAUCACAUAAAGAGUAAUGCUUCAGGUACAAAUGUUUGUUCUGCACAAAUUAAUUCGUUUGUGAAACAUAUAUCGUAAGCGUGUCGUAAAAUUUUCGUGUACAUAAGUAGUUUUUUAAAAAAAUUUUAAAGAAGAAUCAGUAACAGUACUCAAAAGUACAUAAAUCUGUUUAUUUUGGAAUGGUCCCUCUGAUUAAGGUGUCCUUUGCUGCAAAAUAAUGCUAUGAAAAUGUCAAACAUUAACAGUACUCUUGAUUGUAGAUGCCUCCUUAAUUAAUUAGUUAAUUUCCAUGUUGUUAAUUUAUUUAUUAUCUAUAAAUGGGUAUAGUUGCUGUGUUCUUUGCUGAAUAAUUUCUGAUGCAUUAAUAUAUCAGUAAAUGCCUCAUUGGGGGACUAACUACUAGUAUAUCUAAUCCCCAACUUGCAAAUUUAAUUUAAUUUAAUUUUUUUUAAAAGAUCUGAGAAAUAUUUGCCCUUAAUUAAUUUUAUCACUAGCCAUGAGGAAUUGGACCACAAAAACACUGCUCCUACUUGCACCUACUGCAGUAAUAAAUGGUGUAGUCCCAGAUCCCACUCAGUGCUGUGCACAAAUACAUAUAAAAUACAAGAAGUGAACCAUAUAUCCAAGGAGAAGGUGGUCAAAUUUCACCUGGAUUUUUGUCCAACACCAUUAUAUAUAUCCAAAUUACUCACAAAUUAACUUAUAUUUUUUACAUUGGUAAUAAUAAUAAUAAUAAGUAGUUUAAUUCCUUCUUGUCCUAUAAAUCUAGUUAUAUAUCUGAGGCCUAGAGUAAAGACUAGUGCUACAUUGAUGCACAUAUUAGUUUACUUUAAAAAAAAAAAAAAGUAUUAGAAUGCAAAAGUUUUGGAACAUGGACAGAGGCAAAAGCUGCUUCAUUUAAUUUUUUUCUUUAUGGGCUUUAAUAUAAUGUUUGAUGGGGUACUUAGACAUGUGUGAAGUACUAUACGAAAUUUUUAUAGUACCACCCUAGCUAGGUGUACAAUUUGGGCCAUAUAUAUUAUUGUAGCCUCGGUUGCAUUUUAUGUUUAAGGGUUUUUUUUGCAAUUGGCCCUGAAAAAAAAUUUAUUUUAAAGAUAGUCCCGAUAAAUUUAUAAUUACAAAAUAGCCCUACCCUUGCAGGCGCCACGCGAGCGGGCUGGGUGGCGGUCGGGUCUGGCAAGUUGAACACGGUAAAUAGUUCAACGUAUUCAGUUAGUUAUUCUGCCCUGAAAAAGAUGUUGUACAAUACGUUUAGGGUUUACAUCAAGCGGCGGGAAUAACAAAAAAAAAACACGGUGAACCAUUAACCGUGUUUGAACACGGUGAAUGGUUUAUCGUGUUCAACUUGCCAACCAGGCGGCCAGCCCACCCGCGUGGCGUUUGCGUGGUAGAGGUAGGGCCAUUUUUACAAUUAUAAAUUAGUUGGGACUAUUUUUAAAAUAAAAUUUUUCUAGGGGUCCAUUUGCCCAAAAAGCCCUUCAUAGGACCACCUAAUGUGAGCCUCCCUUAGGCCUGGGUCUAAAAGAGUUAAAGGAGCUCUCACAUGGCCAUGGCCCGGCCCUAGUUUGGCCCUCGAUGCUGUGGUGUGACUCGAGCCGAGGCCCGGACCCCUUGCUGGGCCACCAGUCUUAGAGAGUGAUCGGCCCAACAUGAUCCAUUAAGCUCAGGCCAUUUUGGCAUGACACAGUUACAAAUAGUACCCAUAAUCUUGCCAUGAAAAAGUCUAUAAUGCGGCAGUCAUAGAUCCUAUGCGGUGUGCACUAGUCGAUCAAAUUGCUCUCCUCGGUUUCAUCCGUCCCAGAAACGCAUUUUUGUCGUAUUUUUUUAUUCAAAAAGAGAUAUAUGAUUGAUUGUUAAUAGAUGAUGCCGUAUGACUGCCAUAUAGUAGAAUUCCUCUCUUGCCACGUCCUAGCUGCUUUGGGCGGCACUUUUAACACCCAACCUCCGAAUGUGAAAUAAUAGGUAAAUUAUAUUGAUGAGAAUUUGGUUUAUUACUUCUUAAUAUGAAAAACUUAAGAAGCAACCUUCAGAAAAGAAAAAAAAAGAAAAAAAAAAAGAGGAAAAAAAAAGAGAAAAUGAAAGAGUGAAAUGAGUAGUAUGAACAGUGGAAACCAAGAGCAAAGGUAAUUAUAUAUAAUUGAAUUUCAGUAAAUAGAAGAUGUGAUUUUACUGCAUAUAGCAGAACCAAAAAGCAAAGAUAAAUUUAUAUAACAAAAAUUAAUUUUCUGGUUCCUUGAGAAAUUUAUGAACAAAUUGCAAUUUGAGUAUAUGUACUCGGUAUCUUGUUCAUUAUUUGAGACACGAGGAAUAUACUUGUUUUGAUCACAAAGGUACUUGUUGCAUCUUUAUGACGUUUUUUUUUUUUUUUUUUUUAUAACUUUUUUGUUCUUUAAAUAAUAUGCAUAGGAAUCACUCAAAAAUUAACUUUAUUGGCAUGUUGGUAACUAUUAGAACAUAUACAGAUCAACUAAACAAAUAAAAAUGUUUAAUCGCACAUGAAAACAUUAAUAGACACCCUAAAGCUUACCAUUUUGUGGAUUGAAUGGAGUCAUCAAUUGAAGUUCAUGACCCCAAAGGGAUGAUAAUCUCACAACGCUAGAUCUGUCAUCUAAGAGCAAACUUAUCUCCACUCUAGCAUUACUCAAUAUAAAUAGAUAGCAUGUAGAGUACUUUUUAUGCAUACGGAGACCUUCAUACUUAUAAGUUAUUCUUAAUAAUAGAGAACUUGAUGUAAAAUAUUUAAAGAAUAUAGAGUUAUUAUACUCUUAUAUAUCCUCAACUACAAGAAUUUUAAUAUAUAUGUUAAAUUUCUUUAAAUGUAACGUCGACCCGACCCGCUAGCAACAAUGACUCGUUACCACCGGCUCAAAAUGCUUAAGCCCAGUUAUUAUAACUAGCAUGUAGGCCUCAUCCAUCCGAUGUGGGACUAUUGGGGCGUUACAAACUCCCCCUGUUUAGACCCUGACGUCCUACUCGGGUCCAAACUAGAUAACAGACAGACUAGGAUGUAGCACUCUGCUCUCACAUUUCCAGCUGGUAUUCCGCUCCGAUACCAAAUGUAACGAUCCGACCUGCUAGCAACAAUAACUCCUUGGGCCCAAGCCACCAGCUCAAAAUAUUUAAGCCCGAUUAUUAUUACUAGCAUAUAGGCCUCAUAUAAACUGAUCGAAAUCAGUAUCCCAUCCGAUGUGGUACUAUUAGGACGUUACAACAAUUAAAGCUAAUAUCAAAAGGAGUAAUAUUGAUUCAUUGUCGAAAGAGUCUCCAGCAGCUAGCUGGGGUCUUCAAUAACAUGGUUAGCAUGAAUAAUAAUGAGAUUAAGGGAAAAAAAAAAAAGAAAAAGAAAAAAGUAGUAAAAGGUUAAAUAUAGGUGAGCCCAAACCAGUUGGCCAAGACCUCAUAUUGCCUGGCCUGGUCCUAUUCAACUCGGGCACGAGCAUAUGCAUGCAUAUCUAUGAAUAGCACAAACUCUUUAAUAGUCUCCUAAGCAAGAGACUAAUAGAUGGUGGAAUAUAUACGAAGGUUUUAUUUCUCUUCUGUAUUCCAUUUAGGAUUAAAUUUUAGAAUAGUAUUUUGAGCGCUUAACAAUUCCAAAUAAAGGCCUUUAGGUAUUUUGCCACUCAAGAGGCCCAUGCUUCAAAUUAAAGUUUUAAAUCAUAAAUUAAAUAAUAAACUUCAACAGGAAGAAAAUCAUGAAGAGAGAGAGAGAGCGCGCUAUUUUGUACUUUGCAAAGCUCUACUUAACUAUGAUAUCACUAAUAUACUUCAAAAUCUUAAUUUGUCAGAGAACCAACAAUACCUAGCAUAGUUGGCUAAAGAUUUGAUGAUUGGUACUCGAGGUAAUUCCAAAUUCGAAGCUUAGUUGUUUCACCUUUCUAAUUAAGUUUAUUUCUAAAAAAUUGAACAAAGCAGAUCUAUCUCUCACUCAAAAAAAAAAAAACACUCAAGUUGGCGGAGAUUAAUAUUUCAAUAUUGUAUAUUCUGUAGCUAGUAUAUAAUCAAGCAUACUGACCAUCCCUAGAGCAAGUGGCAAAGGGCUUGGUGGUUGGUAUCCGAGACCCAAGUUCGAAUCCUAGUUGAUUCACAUUUCCAGCUAAAUUUAUUUUUAAAUGAAAUAAACGAAGCGGGGUAGCGUGCUACCUAUCUCUCUCAAAAAAAAAAAGAAAAAGGUAUAUAAUCUGCAGGCAUGAACCUCAGCUUCACCAAGAAGAGUUCAUAUAUUGGUGUACCCUAUCAAUCAGGUAUAUAUUCGCUCCAUAAUAUAUUGGAACAACAGCUGGUUCUAAAUUCCUAAACAUGUACAAAACCAAGCACACCUAUCUCUCUUGCAACAAGCGAAGUCUCGUACCGACCGUUCCUAGAGCAAGUGGCAAAAGACUUGGUGGUUGGUACCCGAGACCCAAGUUCGAAUCCUAGUUAAUUCACAUUUCCAGCUAAGUUUAUUUCUAAAUGAAAUAAACGAAGCGGAUAGCAUGCUACAUUUCUCUCAAAAAAAAAAAGCGAAGUCUCAUACAUGCAUGGCACAUGACCUCUACUAGUUUAAAGCAAGAGUUAUAUAUGAUUAGUUUACAGGAGCUAGCCCCUUUGCUUUAAAGUAAACCAUGUUUAAUUAGAACCCCACUCUCUCAUAAAAAAGGAAAAGGGUAAUGAGCACUAAACAACAUUAUACAGCUUGUAGUGGAUCUCUUUAUUCUCCACCAUUGUCCUCUCAUGAUGGUGUGUUUGGUUCCUUGUCCUUGUCUACUAAAGGAUAACUAAUUUGGAGCUAGCACUACCCGUCCACUAACCCUAUGUCUAAUUUUUGAUCAUUAUACAUUCCAUUUUUCAAUAGUUUUAAACACUAUAGAGCCCACAUAUAAAUGUUGGUUGGUUACACGUAUAUAUUUUAUAUUCUUCCUCCUAUUUGAAACUUAGUUCCCUUUAAUGUAGUACUCUUAAAGAAUUACUAACACAUUUUUUUUUUUUUUUUUUUUUUGAGAGAAAGGUAGCACGCUACUUGCUUCAUUCAUUAGGCAAAAGAAUUUGCCUACAAAGGGUGAGGCAGGUAGGGCCUCAAAGAGUGACAAAAGUAAAGAAAGAGGAACUCUAAAAAUAUCUAAAAAAAGCUAAUUAAAAAGAGCACAAAGUCAAACAAAUAAACGGCCUCACCCACGUCUACAAAAAUCGGUCCACUCCUUUGCCAGUACACUAAUACGAUGUGCCAUAGAGGUAGCAUUCAAGGUAAGGUUUCAAAAAAUGACGUUAUUUCUCUCGCGCCACAACGUCCACCACAGGGCCGCCACUAGUAUCUGAGGCUUCAGAGUGUCAGGCGCUAUUACUAACACAUUGUUAUGAUUUAAUUUUUAGUUUUUGUUAAUUUCUUAGAGAAGUAGGGCUUUGUCUUUUGUAGUAGUAAUUCUCAUUCUUUCAGGUCCCAAUUGAUGGAGAUAUUCUAUUUAUGUGUUUUGCCUUGAAAGCAAAUUAAGGGCUUAUCUGAAGGUGGUUGAAUUACUUAUAUAGGUCACUAAGAAGCUUGAGAAUAAUGAGAAAAGAAAUAGAGUAAAAUAUUAAAGAAGGGUUAUGAUCAUUGAAGCAUGCGAAAAAGCUUAGCUUAUAAUAGAUUAAUAUCAUCAUUACUAAUUAAUAUACAUAUAUAGUCUUCGAUCAUCGAUCAUACUCCUCAGUGGUACCCUUGAUUCCUUGACCAAAACUAUAUAUUUAUUUGAAAUUUUACAUACAUAAAUACAUACGUUGACAGAUACAUACAUUUCCCAUACAAUCAUUUAAAUUGAGAAUUUUCUCGCUGCCGACCCGCCUAAAUUAUUCUGUGAUCAACAAGUGGAAGUGGUUAAGAGUAAUCUUAUAUUUUUGCUAGCUAAUAUGUUAAUACUAAAGCAUGUGGCACUGUGGCAGUGUUUAGCAUACUUAAUUCAAGUCAUAAAGAGCAAUAGUCACUAUUAAUAAGAUAAGUUUACAUACUUUGUCAACACCUUUUCUUUAUGGGGUAUAUAUAUAUUAAACUAAAGCAAACCCACCAACACUUAUGAUCUCACACCCUAAAAAUUCCACAAAGAAAGUGCUAACCCUCUCCUUUUACCCUUGAAUUUGUUAUGUAGUUAAAUAGCUAGUGAGAUACUUAUUUGUCACAUGCUAAGGAAGUGCUUGUCCAAUUCUAUCUCAAAAAUCCCUCCAACCCACAAAUAGUUUCUUUGUGCUUACAACUAAGCAAAGCUCCAUUCUCUUCUCUCCCUCUCUCUCUCUCUCUCUCUCUCUCUCUCUCUCUCUCUCUCUCUCUCUCUCUCUCUCUCAAUUUAUGAUCUUGAAGGAGAGAGAAUUAUUUUGUGACAAGAAUUGCUUCUGUUCAUAAGGUUUGAUCAUGGGGCCUAAGAGAUCUACAAUACUCUUUGUUCUCGUCACCGCGUCGAUCCUCUCGACUUCAUUUGCAGGUGAGUAUUGUUAAUUCAAAGGUACCCAUGGUUCUGUUUCAAAAGAUGACUUGUUACUUUGGCCUCAUUUGAUUCUUGGGAAAAAAAAAUGAAGAGGUUAUGAACAUCUCAAGUUCUUUGGUUCAAAUCAGAAUCAUUUUUGUCAAAAGAAAGUAACUGCAAACUAAUUUUUGUUUGGUUAAAUUUUUAACUUAAUUCUAUAUGUGAUAAAGUUUCAAAACUUUAUCAAUAUUUAAACAUAGCAUUAUACAACAAAAAGGAGAUAAAAUUUUGACUUUUACAGAUAAUUCAAGAAUAGCAUCAAAUUUAGUUCUCUCUCAAGUAAUAUAUAUAUAUAUAUAUAGGAGUUUGGUUAUUAGUUUAUAUUUUGGAUAUAGAAGUUUGGUUAUUAGUUUAUAUUUUGGAUUGCUCUUCUAACUGUAUCCUCAAAAAGGCUUCUACGCCAAAUUAACUUAUCAUUAAAAGGAAGCCAAAAAAUGUUACCAUAUACAUAUAGAACUUUUUUGCACUCUUUGAGAAUAUAUAUAUAUAUAUAGAGAGAGAGAGAGAGAGAGAGAGUCCAUAUAAAUGAAACUAAUUGAAUAUCAUACUAUUAUGAGAAGUUAAAAAUGUUAUGAAAAUAAAAAUUAGCUAAAAAUAUAUAAAACUUAUCUCAACUAUCACACUUUUGGAUCCGACUACCUAACCUUUAAAAAUUUUAAUUUUACCACCUGAUCUUCUACUUCGUGUGAUUUAAGUUAAUUAGUGAUUUUCUAAUUUCAAAUUUUGAAUGCAUCAUUUAUCUUUAUGAAUUUAAUUAGUAUAUUUUAUGCAAUUUACGUAACUAUAAAUUCAAUAGAGUAGGCAAUUAUUUUAAAUUUGUAUCCAAAGAGCCAUCAUAUCACUUAAAUCAAAAAAUUGAAAGGUUAGAUACUGAAAAUUAAAUUUCUAAAGGUUAGAUAAUCGAAUCAAAAUGAUCUAUAGUUUAUGUAAGUUUAUACAUUUUUACCUAAAAAUAAUAAAGAAGCAUCUUCUCAAUUUAAAUUGUGUAUGUUUGUUUCUUAUCAUGUACGUGUGAAGAGAUUUCUCUUUGUAUGCAGGAGGGCAAAGGAGAUUUUUAGAGAAAUAUGCAGUGAAAGUGGAAACAAAAGUAUUGCUAUUUAAUUCUCAUACUUCAUUUUUUGCUUUUAUAUUCCAAACUUAUACCCUAUUACAUAUGUGUAACAAAAUACUAGAUUUUUUUAAAAAAAAGUUGAAGUUUAUCAUUAGAGAAUCUGAGAUCUCUAUUAUGAACAUGCUUCUUUAUGAUCAUUAUUAGAGAAAAAUUUUCAUUAUUUUCUUCUCUUUUUUUUUUUCUAAUUACACAAAUUGAUUUCAAAUGUGUCACAGGAAAUUACGAAAACGCCGUCGUAUGAAGAUGAAGUUGUUGUUCGCGCGAGAAUUCUGAAAGUUCAAACAAAUGAUUAUGGAAGCUAUGACCCUUCUCCAAGUCUUGAGAAGCCUCCGUUUAAGCUUAUACCGAAUUAAAUUAAAUGUUGUUAUAUUUAGUACCAUAUGUUAUGGAAUAAUGAAGUGAAUUAUAUAUAGUUCCAUCGAGCAUCAGUAUGCGAAAAAUGUAGGAAUGUUGUUGUAUACAUAUGCAAUAUAUAUGUUUUGUGACUGAUGUGUACUUGUGAGUAAAUUAAAUUGCAUGCACUUUAUCAUCUCUUUCUAUAAUAUAUGUAGUAUUAAUUAAAUUGUUUUCCAAUUUAAUGUGACAAUAAAUACCUAAGAAAAUUUAGAGCGCUUGAGUUCUAAACAUAGUGAAUGGUCUUACAACAUGUAAAUUUUUCUUAAUGAACAAAAAAAAACAAUAAUUUUUUGUGUGGAACAGGUGAAUGAUCUAAACUUUUUGUUUUUUGAAAAAGAAAAAGAAGUUGUUAUUUGUAGUAAAGUUGUGUAUAAUUUCUUAUUUCUAGUCGACCCAUAUUGUCGGAGUGAGAAUUCGAUGACAAUUUAUGUUAAUUUUUCGUAAAACUGUGGAAAUUCAAAAAGCGAGGAGAUUUGUUAGUUGAGAGUGAAAAAGAUAAAAAAGGAAGUGUAGAGCAAAAAAAAUGAAAAAAAUAAUAUUUCUCAUUUCAAAAUAUUAUUUCUCAUUUCAAAAUAAAAUAUUUCGCUUAUUCGCCCUUCUCGAGGCCCUGCUGUCUCACCCAUGUAGCUUAGUUCAUCGUCUAAUUGAAUGAAACGGGUAGCGUGCUACCUUUUUCUCAAAAAAAAAUAUUAACUCCCUUAAAUUGAGAUACUAAGCUUCUUUUUUUUUUUUGAAAAAUGAAUGCUCAUUGUCUAAUUGAAUGAAACGGGUAGCGUGCUACCUUUUUCUCAAAAAAAAAUAUUAACUCCCUUAAAUUGAGAUGUUAAGCUUUUUUUUUUUUUUGAAAAAUGAAUGCUUGGAGUUAAAGUCAUUCCAAAGGUCUUUUCAUGAAGUAUAUAUAUCAGGGCAAAUCUUAACUAAAAUAUUUUCGGCCGUUUAUUUUGAGACUACUCAUUCACUAGACAAAUAUAAUUAAAAAAUUAUGACAUUUGAUUUUUAAAUAAUUCUAAUAACGUAGAUCAUGUCUAACGGAGCUAAUCAUCGAAUCAGAUGUUCUAUCACUGAAAACAACUUACAAGUACGGAGACCUCUAUACUUUUGAAAGCGUAGGAGACAUAUUCUCUCUCUCUCUCUUUCUCUCUCUCUCUCUCUCUCUCUCUCUAGCAAUAUGAAUUCCCUUAGAAAUUGUUAAAACAACCGCGCACACAAAAAAAACAACAAGAAGAAGAAGCACUGUAGAAAUAUAAAUUAGAACAAGAGCAAAGCUACAUAAUAUUAAUUUGCAAAAAAAUUAUAAACCAUUUAAAGCAUAAUUUACAAACAGAAGAAUAAAAAGAAAUUAUAAUAUGUUCAUUCCAUUUGCAAUCACAUAUUAAUGAGCUAGGUCUAUGUCCAUGAUUAUUGAAUAUCUUAUUAAUGCCAAUAAUAUUUUUAGCAUGAAAUAGUCGAAGCUAUUUUAUGACAAUGUGGCUUAAUGGGUCGAGUUUGAGCUCAAUAUUAAUAAGGGGUUUAAAUUUAAAUCUUAAGCUAGGUAAUGUCCAAAACCUGGCCCAACAAAAAGAGGCCCAUGGGCCUGGGCAAUAAUUGGGCCGACAAUCCCGCGUAGUUGCGACUUCGUCUAAGGGCAUGUUUGGUUGGACAAAGCUCUAAGCAUGAUGAAUUGGCGGAACCUCUUUUCGUGUAUACCGACUACGACACUGUGCGUGUGGGAGGUGAAGUCGACAGCUCUGAUCAUACCGAAACUAGCAACCUAUGCUGGAUUGACAAAGGCAUGUACGUAUAUAAAUAGAAAGCUAAAUUAUAAAAAAUCUCUAUGUGAAUGUUCCUUUUUUAAUUUUUACUUCAAGACUGUGAGACCCCGAUUUCUGUCAGUGGGGACUUGUCGACAGCUUUGGAGAGUGUCGAGACAAGCCCGAGUCGCGUUGGCGUCAAAUAGACGCGAAGCGGACUCCGUGCGAUGCGAGGGCAGCAUUCUGUGUGAAAAUCUGCGAAAUUGCAGGAUUUUUACUCUGUUGUACCGGUACAAGGUUAGUGCUGUACCGGUACAACCAUCAUGGAAAGUCGCUUGCUGUACCGGUACAAGGGUCCAUUUGUACCGGUACAGAGCGUGCGACAGAACUCAGUUGCUCUCGGGUUUGGCCUUGUACCGGUACAGCAAUCCAUGUACCGGUACAAGGGAGUUGGUAAGGGCUAAAUCCGUAAUUUUUCUACCUCGUUUGUAACGAUUCCUUCCCUCUCUCUCUAUAUCAGUUGGAAACCGAACAGAGGAAGAGAGAGAAGGCUUUUGUGCUUUCUUCUUUCUCUCUCUCUCUAAGCUUGGUGGAGGUGGAGCACGGUUGAGCCGGGGAUUCGCCGACGUCGCGCCGCGAGCCGUUCGAGCGAGCGUUUGUUGCCGGGGUCAUAGGCUUCCAUAAUCAUUUGUUUGAACUUUAGAAUCUCGGCGUCGAACAAACAAUUCAUCUUCAUACACGGCGUUCUGUAAUUUUCUUGACACAUUUUAAAUAAAUUUUUGAAUAGAAAAAUAAAAAAGGAAAAAAAAUAAUGAAGUAAUUGUUCUCUUAAUUAAUAUCAAAAGAACAUUCAUAAAGAGAUUCUUCAGUUCUCUAAUUGUAUACACACUUAAACUUUUUAAAAACUUAUAUUUGUCAUCAUCAUAAGUAUUAUAUUAAAUUGGAACAUAAAAGCAAAAAAUUAAGAUAUAAAUUAAAUACAAUACUUUGUUCAUUUCACUCUAUUUUCUCUAUAAAAUCUCCUAUUGCUCCUCUUUCGGCAUACAAAAUAUAAUUCUCUUCACCAUAAUAGAAUACAAACAUUACAGUCAAUUAAAUUGAAAUGAUGCUUACUUUAAUAUUAGUAAAAUAUGUAAAUAAACUUACUUGACAUCAUAAUCAUUGAUUCGAUUAUUAAUCUUAAAAAUAAUUUUAGAAUCUAACCUUUCAAUUUGAUUUAAGUGAUUAUGUUAUCUCUUGGAUAUCAAAUUAAAAAAAUUACUACUUUCUGUUGAAUAUAUAGUUAGUAAAUUGUAUAAAUAUUUAUCAUCUAUUAAAUCUCAUAAUAGAUAAUAUGAUGUUGCAUUCAUAAAUUUGAAAUUUAGAAAAUCACAAUUAAGCUAAAGUACACAUGUACUAAGUAGUGAAGAUCAGUUGUAAAAUUAAAUAUUUUUAAAGUUAUAUUCAUCCAAAAAAGGUUAGUAUAUAUUUAGUUUUAUAAGCAUUUUUUUAUCUUAAUUUUUUCAUUUUCCUAACAUUUUUAACUUCAUAAUAGUAUUAUAUUGGAUUAGUUCAUUAUAUAUGGACUCAUAAUAUAUAAUAUAUUAUUUAUAUAUAUAAUAUAUAUAUAUAUUUUAAUAUAUUAUAUAUAUAUAUUCAAAAGUUAAAAAAGUCUACUGUUAUAUUUGAAAUUUUUAUGGCGUUCCUUUAAUGAUACAGUUAAUUGCUAGAAGCUUUUUGAGACUAAUCUGUUAAGAUUGCCAAUCCAAAAUAUAAACCUAAUAACGCAAACUUCUAUAUAAUAACUAUAGACUUAAGAUUAACAAAUGUGAUGCUAUUUCUAUUAUCUGUAAAAGUCAAUAAUUUAUCUCCUUUUGUUAUGAAUCAUGUUUAAAAAUAUUGAUAAAGUUGAAACAUUAUCACAUAUAGAUAUUUAACGUUAAAAAUUAAACAUCAACAAAUUCAUGUUGCAUUAACUGUUCUUUGACAAAAUAAUAUUCUGAUUUAACCAAAGAAUUAAAAGUUCAUAACCUUCUUCAUUUUUUUCCCAAAAUCAAAUGAGCCCAAAGUAACAAUCAUCUUUUGAAACAGAAACCAUGGUACCUGAUUAACAAUACCACUGCUGCAAAUGAAGUCGAGAGGAUCGACACGGGUGAACGAGAACAAAGAGUAUUAGUAGAUCUCUUAGCCCCAUGAUCAAACUAUAACAAAGCAAUUCUUGUCACAAAUAAUUCUCUCUCCUUCAAGAUCAAAAUUGAGAGAAGAAGAUAAGAGAGAGAGAAGAAGAGAGAGAAGAGAAUGACUUGCUCGUUGAAGCACAAAGAAACAUUUUGUGGUGCAGAUUUGAAUAAAUUGACAAGCACUUUCCUAGCAUUGUAAAAAUAAAUUUCACUACAUUAACUACAAACAAACAAGUAAAGAGAGGGUAAAGCAGCUUUCUCAUUGUGGAAUUUUUAGGUUGAGAUAUAAUGUGUUGGGUUUUUCUUAGUUUUACAUAAUAUAUACCAUAAAGCAAAAGUUUGACAAAGGAUAAAUAUCUUAUUAAAUGACUAUUGCAAUAUGACUAAUUAAGUAUGCUAAACACUGCCCCCAGUGCCACAUGCUUAGAAACAUAUAACUAGCAAAAAUUAAAAUACCUUAUUAACCAACUCCACUUGUAUACACUAGAAAAUUUAGCCGGGUCGGAGCGAGAUAUUCCAAUUAAAUGAUUGUAUGGAAAUGUAUGUAUCGUCAACGAAUGUACUCUUAUAUGUAAAAUCAAAUUAUCAUAUAUUUUCGCAAGGAAUCAAGGAACCACUGAGGAUAGAUCGAAUCGAAGAUCGAAGACUAUGUAUAUAAUAGUAAGAUACAUAGUAAUCAUUAUAACGCUAAGCUUUCGCAGCUCAAUGAACAUAACCCUCUUCUAUAUUUACUCUAUUUUUUCUCAUUAUCCAACAUCUAUGAACCUAUAAAGUAAUUCAACACCUUCAAAAGCCCUUAAUCACUGUUCUAGGAAAACACAUAAAUAAACAAUCUCCAUCUAAUUGGGACCUGAAAGAAGAUAAUUCCUACUACAAAAGACAAGCCUCUUCUCUAAAAAUUAAAAGUUAAAACAAAAUAAACCAUAACUAAUGUGUGUACGCCGACCACUCGACCUCAGAUACUAUGGCGACUCCUGGGUGGACGUGUCGCGAAAAAUAAUUCUUUCGCAACCUUACUUUGCAUCUACCUCUAGGCACACUCGUAUUAGUACGGAAAGUGGACGCGAUGUUGUAGACGUGGAGCCGUUAUUUGUUCGAACUUGUGGCUCUUUUAACUUAAUUACAUUUCUUCAAUAUUUUAGAAUUCCAUCUUUCUUAUACUUUGUCACUUCUUGAGCCCAACCUCCUCACCCUUUGUAGCAAAAUCAUUUGCCUAGAACUAAAGCAAGUAGCGUGCACCUUCUCUCCGUCAAAAAAAAAAAAAAAAAACAAUGUGUUAGUAAUUCUUAAGAGUAUACAUUAAAGGAUAAUUUCAAAUAGAUAAGAAAUUAGAAUAUAUACAUGUAACCACCAACAUUAUAAUUGGCUCUAUAGUUAAAACAUUGAAAAAAUGAUGUAUAAUGACAAAAAUUAGACAAGGUAGUGGCGAGUAGUGCUACUCAAUAGUUAUCCAUUAUAGACAGAACAAGAACCAAACACAAAAUGACACGACAAUGGUGAGAAUAAAGAAUCCAUCUACAACUGUAUAAGUUGUUUAUAUCCAUCUACCUUUUCCUUUUUAUUAAAGGGGUUUAAAAACAUGUAUCUUAAAGCCAAAGGGCUAGCUCCUGUAAACUAACAUAUAUAACUCUUGCUAGCUUUAAACUAGUAAGGGGCAAUGUGCAUGCUGUAUGAACUUCGCUUUUUUUGAGAGAGAUAGGUAGUACGCUAUCCGCUUCGUUUAUUUCAUUUAGAAAUAAAUUUAGCUGGAAAUGUGAAUUAACUAGGAUUCGAACUUGAGUCUCAGAUACCAACCAUCAAGUUCUUUGUCACUUGCUUUAAGGACAGUCGGUUGAAAAAAAAAUUGUUAUUUGCAGUAAACUUGUAUAUAAUUUCUUAUUUCUAGUCGACCCAUAUUGUCGGAGUAAGAAUUCGGUGAUAAUUUAUGUUUAUUUUUCGCAAUACUGUGGAAAUUCAAAAGGCGAGGAGAUUUGUUAGUUGAAAGUGAAAAAGAGAAAAAAGGAAGUGUAGAGCAAAAUAAUAAUAAUAAUAAUAUUUCUCAUUUCAAAAUAUUAACUCACUUAAAUUGAGAUACUAAACAUUUUUUUUUGAAAAAUGAAAGCUUGAAGUUAAAGUCAUUCCAAAGGUCUUUUCAUGAAAUAUAUAUAUAAGGGCAAAUCUUAACUAAAAUAUUUUCGGCCGUUUAUUUUGAGACUACUCAUUUACUAGACAAAUGUAAUUAAAAAAUUAUGACAUUUGAUUUUUAAAUAAUUCUAAUAACGUAGAUCAUGUCUAACGGAGCUGAUCAUCGAAUCAGAUGUCCUAUCACUGAAAACAACUUACAAGUGCGAAAAUCUCUAUACUUUCGAAAGCGUAAGAGGCGUACUCUCUCUCUCUCUCUCUCUCUCUCUCUCUCUCUCUCUCUCUCUCUCUCUCUCUAGCAAUAUGAAUUCUCUUAGAAAUUGUUAAAACAACCACGCACACAAAAAAAACAACAAGAAGAAGAAGCACUGUAGAAAUAUAAAUUAGAACAAGAGCAAAGCUACAUAAUAUUAAUUUGCAAAAAAAUUAUAAACCAUUUAAAGCAUAAUUUACAAACAGAAGAAUAAAAAGAAAUUAUAAUAUGUUCAUUCCAUUUGCAAUCACAUAUUAAUGAUGAGCUAGGUCUACGUCCAUGACUAUUGAAUAUUAUCUUAUUAAUGUCAAUAAUAUUUUUAGCAUGAAAUAAUCGAAGCUAUUUUAUGACAAUGUGGCUUAAUGGGUGGAAUUUGAGCUCAAUAUUAAUAAGGGGUUUAAAUUUAAAUCUUAAGCUAGGUAAUGUCCAAUACCUGGCCCAACAAAAAGAGGCCCAUGGGCCUGGGCAAUAAUUGGGCCGACAAUCCCGCGUAGCAUUUGCGACUUCGUCUAAGGGCAUGUUUGGUUGGACAAAGCUCUGAGUAUGACGAAUUGGCGGAACCUCUUUUCGUGUAUACCGACUCCGACACUGCGUGUGGGAGGUGAAGUCGACAGCUCUGAUCAUACCGAAACUAGCAACCUACGCUGGAUCGAUAAAAGCAUGUAUGUACAUAAAUAUAAGGCUAAAUUACAAAAAAAUCUUUCUGUAAAUAUCUAUUUUUUUAUUUUUACUUCAAGACUUUCAAAAACCUAUAUUUUGCCCCCUUAAAAUUUUAAGUUGUUGCAUUUAAUCCCCCUUUAUCAGAAUUUCAUCACUAUUCCGUCCAUUUUUUGUAUUUUAUAUCGAAAAUGCGCUUCAAAAUGCCAGAAAUAUAUUUAAAAGUUAUUAUUUUUUUUUAUAGAAAAAAUAAGGGUAAUUUGAUCAUUUUGCCCUCUCCAUUAACAUCGUAUCCUCCGAAAAUAUUUCUGAAAUCUUACGAGGGCAAAAUGUAGGUUUUUGAAAGCUAAAAAGAAAAGGUGAAAAAACAAACGAAUAUUUAUAAAAAGAUUUUCUUUAAUUUAGCCUAAAUAAAAUGAUACACUGAUUAAACAACAUCUAAACCAGGAAGAAACUAAGUAACAUAUAAUAAUAGUGGAUAAUAAUAAUAAUAAUAAUAAUAAGAAGGGGUCUCCAUCCAGAAUCUGAAUCUUUGAGAUUCGUGCAAGUUGCAGGAACAUUGAUGAUGAUGAUGAUGAUGAUGCUUUGUGCCAACAUUUAAUUAAUGCUGCAACUGCAUCUCCAGAUGCGUGUGUACAUGAAGAACCAAGUAAAUGGUGUUAGCUUUGGUUGCUUUUGUUAUUAUUAAUGCUUAAAUUGUAAGAAAAUGAUGGGUCAGCUAUGGAAGAAUAAACAUGUGGCCCAUUAAUUUGAUGCCUCUCUUUGCCAAAACUUUAUAUACAUGUUCAUAUAUUUAUAUACUUUUUUUGAAUACAUCUCAUUUUAAAUUUUCCCGCUUUUUAUAAUAAAAAUACACAGAAAACUAUCGUCAAUAGCUGUUACAAAGAAUUACCAAAACAUAUUUUGAUAUUAUUACUAUUGUAUUUAAUAAUAAUUUAAAUAUUUUUAUUCCGCUAAUAGUUAAAAUUGCUUUGGCGCCUCUUAUUCUAAAAGCCAAUGAUAAUUAUCAUUGCCGAAUAAGUUUAUUGAACAAGACUACUAUGUGGUAAUUGGUUCUGCUAGAGCUAGUUUUGAUACUGCCAGAGCAAAUACGUUAUAUCUAGCUAUGAUUUAAAAUUUUGAAUUGGUAAGAAAAAUAAACUUAUUUUAGCGUGACAUAAAAGCAAGUAAGUGCGUAAUUUAACAAAUCGAAAAGAUACCGGACACAAUUCGAAAUAUUUUCUAAGUUAUGAAGGGGGAACAACAACGAAUACGAAUGUUUCACGAAAAGUAAAGAGGGGCAUAAUAAUUUUUUUGGCUAUAAAUCAUGAUUUUUGUUGUUUCAUCCACAUAGCUUUACUUUCGGUCGAAUCUAAAACUUUUUAAAGAUAACGUAAUUGACUUAAUCUCACUCACGCCAUAAUCAAUUACAAAAAAAAGAAUAAAAUAAUAAAAUAUUAAUCCAUCUUUCAUACAUCCGUUUUUUACGACAUUCAUAUGCUGCAAAACAAACAGUAAAAUUAGAAAAAUUCAGAUUGAACAAUUAUAUAAAAAAAAAAGCAGAAGAAAGUAUAAUUUUUAUCUAAAAACUCAAUAAAAUAGCUAUUUAAUAAAAAUUAAUCUUUUAAUUAAUCUCGAGUAAAUUUUAAUAUAUAUAAAAAUAAUAAAUAAAUUUAAUUCAUGGUACAAGAAUAGUACAGAGGUUAUCCAUUUACUAACUUUUAAUAUUUUAAUUUGAGUGAUUUUAUGAAAUAUAUUUGAUAUUUAUAUAUAGAAAAUAGAAUUUAAUAAAAAAAUUUCACUCAACUAAUUAGAAUAUUGGAAAUUAAAAAUUAAAAAUUAAAAAUCGAGGACUAUUAAGUAGUAACUAAUAAAAAGUAAAAGUUGAGGGGCCGCUUUUAAAAUAUUCUGGACUAUUAAUAGGGCUGGNUCUCUCUCUCUCUCUCUCUCUCCGUUCCAAAACCCUAGAAGGGGGUCUCGCGCUCUCGACGAUCGAUCUGGGCCGUUGAUUCGGCCUCUCCUCCGCGAUCUCCGCUUCUCCCCGAUGAGGCGGAGAGAGAGGGGAGGGAUCCUCGGGCGCGGUCCGAAACCCUAGCGCCACCACUCCGCCGCGAUCCGCUCUCUCUUGCUCUCUACUAUCCGAUUGAGGUCGGGGUUGCCCCAGAUCGGUUUUUUUCUGCAGAUUUUGGGGUAAAUUUUGUAUAUUAAGUUGAAGAAUCUGAGUUGAAGAGUCUUUCUGUGUCUUUACGAUCGUAUUGAGGUCGAUAUUGCGCUAAUUUAGGGUUUUGUAGCUCGAUUUGGGGCCUUCAGCAUCGAUCAUAUCGGUUUUUCGCUUUUUUGGUGCAAAUUAUAAGGUAAUUUUAGUAUAUUAGAUGAGGAAUAUCACUUGAAAAAUAUCACUAUCUCUCUCGGCACGAUCCUUUUGAGGUCAUUAUCGCCUUAAUUUAGGGUUUGUAGCUUGAUUUUGAACUCCCGCAUUGAUAGAGGUAAGUUUUUUUUUUUCCGCCUUCCUUCAUUUGGGGAAAUUUGUAGGUAAUUUUAAUAUCCUAUAUGAAGAAUCGCACUUUAAGUGGUCAUUAAUGUGUUCUUCUCGCAUAUUCGUGGAUUAAAAUAAAAAAUUUUGCCCCUGUUUUUGAUGUAUACAUGCGUAUAAGCUCACGCAAAUACAAAAAUAAACUUUUUUUCACUUGUUUAGUUAUUUAAUCAUUUAUUUAUUUACUAGGUUUUUAUAUAUGUUUGGUUGAUUCGAUUAUGAGGAUAUGUGUAAUUUUUUCUUUGUUAGGCCCCUUCAUCAUUUUUUGCUUUUCUAUUGUAUCCCUUCACAAUUAUUUUCUAUGUGGUGCUCAAAGGAAAUGAUUUGAUUCUAUGCUAAGUUUAUGAGUUAGUUCACUUACCUCCUUCUUUGGUAAUGUUUUAUUUUUGGAAUGUAUAAUAUUGUCGCGAACUGUUCUUAACUUGGAAAUUACUGCUUCAUUACUUGUUUCAGCAACCAGCUAGUUCCUUCUUCUGUAAGAAUGGAUAUUUAUGUAGGAGCUUUAAAUUUGAUUAGGAAAAGAAAAUGUGUUAGGAAUUUCGAUAUGAAUUUGAAUCAUUGUCCUACUAAUUUUGGGAAUAUAGUGUCUUCUAUUAAUAGUUUGGCUAGUCCAAAUUAUAUGAAGCUUUAGAAAUUAUUGACUAAUUUUUGUAAUCACCUCACUUGACUCAGAAGCUUCCAUAAAGGGAUGCUUUUCAUUUUGUGUUCAUAAAUUUUUAAUUUAUUGAAAAUGAUGAACGAUGGAUGAAUGUUGUUCAAACCUUUUCUCUAAACUUCAGGUAUAGCUGGGGAUUCGAGAUAUCUUUUUUUGGGACAAUUCAGCGCACAAAGCAUCAAGAGUUAUUGCAACUUGUAGAUGCAAAUACUGUUGUUAAUAAGGACAUUUUUUAAAAAAUAUUUUCUUUUUCACAAAAAUGGGGGCCAACUGCUGUGUGGCUGCAAGGGAUAAACCAUUGACAAGCGGAACUCGGAUCGAAGUUUCUGCUUACAGAAAUGUUAGACGCUCGCCUUCAUGGAGCUUUCGCUGGGACAAUCGCACGCACAUAGAGGAUGUAAUGAAUAAUAAUGCUCAAUUGUCUCAAUACAAUAGUGGAAAUGUUGGUUCUGAGAUUAAAAGCGGGGCGACAACAGAAACUGAUGGCCUCUCUGCUGUUGGAAGUCCAUCAGAUGGCUUUCACACUGUCAAGUGGCGCAAGACUAACAGUCUUACUGGAACAUCUGGGAAAUCUAAAACAGAUGCGCAAGACAAAGGUAGGUUUUUUGAUAAUUAUUCAUACACUUGUGAAUUGUUAUUAAUUUCAUGAGAGUAUUGAAUUCAUAUACAACUUGCAGUAUUUAGCUUCAUUAAUACAUGCUAGUGUAAUCUAAGGCGGUCACUAGAAUGCGUAGCCUCAAUCUCCAUGCAAUGAAGCAGCUAUUAGCUGGUAGCUAAUGUUUCCAACAUAGUUCAUCACAAUGCUAGAUGAUUAUGUGAUCAAACUUUGAAUAUAUAAGUGAUAUUUUGUAACACUGACAAUCAAACUUUGAAUAUAUUGCUUUAGAAUUUCCCCUAGUUAUUUUUGUACUUCAUUUGAGUUUUGUAAGAUUUAUGCAAUCACUAUUUUUGUGGUAGCUACUUCAAUUUCUAGUAGACGACAUACUUCCAUCCUGUGACUUUUUGAAAAUAAUUGAUACUGGUUAGUCAAUAACUAGGAAAGACAUUGAUAUUAAAUACAAAUUUGAGAACGGUUCACUACUGUAAAAUGAGAAAAACGAACAAGAUAACAGACCUGAUAAUAAAUAGUAACAAAUUAGUUAAGUAGUUAAUGGUUCAAUAAUAAAUAGUGACUAGUGAAUAAGUAAUGGUUCCAAUUCUCCCAAAAGUUUUUCUCAGAGUGGAAGUCGUUCUCUUUUCAAUUUCUAUUUACUUUUCAAUGGAAGGGGAAGGGAAGGUUUUAAUGUGUGCUUUAUCCAUAAGCUUUGCUUAUUAAUAUAUAUAUACAACUAUUUCGAGUCAUUGGUGAGUAAUUCAGAAAUUGCUAUUUCUGGCGGGGGGAUAAAACGAUGAACAUAUUAUAAAGUAUAAAGCCAACGUUCCCAUUUGUCAGCUUGGUAAUUGUAUUACCAUGCCACACGUUAUUUGAAGUUCACAUUUCUCUAUAUAUGUUUUUUUUCUUGCAUGCAAUUUAAUCUCACCAAUACGAUAUUAAAAAUUGUUAUACAUUCCGUCUGAUGUUUAUUUUAUUGUCCUCCAACAGAUCACUUUAUAGAAAGCAACUCUUCAGCAGUGGUAAGCUGCAUACACAGACCUUUCUUCUGUCACAGUUUUGUUUAGAUGUGUUUAUUGAAGGAUAUUUUACUUUCAAUUGAUGUUAUUUCUAAAUUCUUCGCAGGAAAAGGACUCUAUUAGGUCACCAGGAAUAGCAAGCACAGCUUCAGAAAUUAAGCCUUCAAUCUCUUUUCCUUCUACUCCAUCAUCUCUACCCUUCAGGACCACCGAUCCGUCCUCCUCUCGAAGCCAUUCUCUACCGUUUGACCUGACUUCUUCACAAAAAUCCCACCGAUCUCCAACAUACCAACUCUCCCGCCAAAUCUCGGACAGUAGAGUUCCAUCUCUAAAAUCCCUGAACUCGAACAGCUCCCCUGAGGGUAGAAGAAACUCCUUUGUACUCUCCGUCUGUAGCUCUCAUGGUGGCUCUUCUGAUGGCUGGUCUAUGCGGGCUUUCUCCGAGCUUUUGGCUUCUUCGCAAAGAGAGCUCUGGUCGCCGGACAACGAAACCCUAAUUUCCAUAAACAGCAAGGAAACAACAAGGUCAAAUACUCAACAAUUAGCACCGCCGCUUUCCCCUGAUAAGCAGAUAUGUUUAAUUUGCUCAAGAUUUUUAAAGGACAGGUCUCAAUGGAGUAGUCAAAAGAUAGUUUCGACCAAUGAACUCUCUGUGGUUGCUAUCCUGGUUUGCGGCCAUUCCUACCAUGCAGAUUGUUUAGAGAACAUGACGAUUGAAAGCGAUAAAUACGACCCACCUUGCCCUAUAUGCACUCAUGGGGAGAAGUUUGCAGCAAAAUUAUUUGGGAAAAUUGAAUUGAAGGGCAGAAACCGGAUCUCAAGGAGUGCGGUUGUGGAUAGCGAUGUGGGCGGUCGUCAUUCGCUCUCUAAGGAGCAGAAGAGAGGCGAGAGGGGAGCGAGUUCUAGCACGAAGAGUUCGUUCAGUCGGCCUUUCUUAAGGCGGCACUUCUCGCUUGGUUCACGGCCCUCAAGAUCCGCGCAGGAGUGCGAGUGUCCAAGAAAGAAGGGUUUCUGGGCUCGAUAUAUUAGGGAGUGAGCGAAGCUCUUUUGUGGAAGUGGAUAGGUGAGCUACUGCCUCUAGUGGCAUUUUUUUUUCUAAUAAAAUUCAGUAAUCUUCUUGACUGUAAUUGUUGAUUUUAUUGAUGAUUUAGGUACUUAUUCUUACCAUGGAGUGCGUAAGAAGUCGAUGAAUUUUCUGGUGGAAGCAUGCAAUCUCUUUAACAGAAUCAAAGUGGCAAGAUUUGAAAGAGCAUAUAUUGUAACCAUAUUGAAGUCUAUCAAAGUUCCCCGUAUUGUUCCCAUUUUGGAGACUCAGGUGCGCUCCGCAUGCUAGGAGGUCUUGGGCGCAGAAAUAACCUUUAGGAGAGGUGAGUAGCUACAGCCGAUUUAUGUACCUCAAUUGUCGAGGAGUUAGUCGGUUGAUGGAUAAAUAAUUUAGCCGGUCUUUAAUCAAGGCCAUUAGCUGGGUUGAAUGGUUUAGCCCGGCAUCUUCUGUAGUUCCAUUCUUUUCUUUUAUCUUAGUCGUAACCGCUAAUGUCUGUAGAUCGAUUGUUGUUUCAUUACACACUCUUUCAGCAAAUAGAGUAUCAGAAUUAAUUACCCUCUGUUAAGGAUGUAUUUGAAUUCCCCCCUGGCUUUAAAAACCAGCGGUUGUUUGUUUUCUUUGUGAAUUUAACUAAAUCUGCAUUCGAGUAAGAAUUUGCCAGGAAAUAUUUCUCCUAGUAAGAUUCCGAUGUUUUGUUUCGUAUCGUCGAUGUAUUGUGUUUGGUUAGAUGCUGUCGAAAGUAACAAAGUGAUUCCCUGGUGGUAAUUCAGGUUUGUGCAGUGCUCUAUAGACUCUGCUAGUCGUGCCGAUAUGAAGUUUGUGUCUAAUAAAUGUCAAAAUUUUUCAAAAUUACUUCUUUCCUAAGCAGAUGUUAUCUUCAGGCUUUUGUGUUGCAUCAAUUUUGGAUUUAUCACCAGCAGCAGUUGUGUUGUGUUUGGUCAUGUUAAUUAGAGUCGUGUUAUUUUUUCAUGAAUUAAACUACAUGAACGGUGUGAUUGGUCCAAUCUAUCACCUACUCCUGAAUAUUGUUGUUCACUUUUUAAAAUCAGAAAUUGCAUGAACACACUCAAGCAAGGAUUUAAGUGCCGUGGUACGGGAUUGUGUUUAAAACUUGCCGAUACGUUGCGUGCCAGGUUGUGUUGAUAUGUGCCGGUACAUUGCGUGCUGGGUUGUGUCGAUGUGUGUCGGUUAUAAAAAAUUUAUGUAUAUUCUAACUAUUUAAGAUGUAUUUUUAUCGGAUAUUUUGAACUUUAUUAAGAAAAUACUGACUAAUUUAAAAAAUAGAGGGUUUUAAACUGUGCUAUCGGCAUAGAAAUUGUAUCGUAUCGAUAUUUUAUUAGCACAAUAUGAUACGGUAAAUACAAUUGGUGCCAAAUAGAUAUUUAAAUCCUUGCACUCAAGUGCCUGUAUUGAAAAAGAAUACUUUGAAUCAUUUCGUUUUAUGUGUUUGAAUUUGUAAUAAAAAAAAAAAAAUUUGGGAACUUGUGUACAAGGCUAUACAGCAUUUUAACAUUCGGAGGAUAUUCUUGGAGAAAUAUUCAGGGUGUUUGACAAUUUUUUUUCCUCCAAAGUUUUACUAAAAAAGUAUAUAUGAAAAUGUGAGAAUUUUGACAUGCUAUAUGUAUCAUUCAACACUUAAUUCUAAACAUUCAUUCAUCAUUAAAUGGAAAUUAGUUCAAAAAAUACUUACCCUUGUUCACUACAUCACUAUGUAUUUUUAGAAGAAUAUUAUUAUACAGAAAUAUAUAAGACAAGAGGUCACUGUGUAUCAUUCUAGAAACAAAAGGAUCAAAAAGAGAGCUCUUACAUUAUUGUUAUAUGUACAAGACUACACCAACAACAUGCAUUAAUGACCAAACACAGCAAAAAAAAAGAGCUCUGUAAUGGCUAUACUCAAGUCAUAAUCUGUAACUCUCAAACCGUUAAAAAUCAAAACUACUGCAGGCCAAGAAAAUCCUAGGAGAAAGUAGCGUACACCAAGUAACAGAAAAUGGAGUACGAAGCGACAAACCGACGGUACCAAUGGUAGAAAUUUCCCUUUUCAGUAGUUCUUCCAAUUGAGCCGAUCUACAUGUCAUAAACUCCUUUGAAAGUUUCUAUGAAGCCGUGAAUCUGUAAGUGUUUCGAAAAGAAAGAGUGAGCAAACGAACGAUGCAUCCAUUAGCUAUAACCAAUGGAAGAAAAACUUCCUGUGAAACGGCUUGCGUAUUGGAACAGAACAUAAAGUAUUAGACCAACUAUUGCCACUGUAAAAGCACCAACAAACAAACGCUUCAAACCAGCCGAUGUACGAUCUCUCAGUGGCACAAAGAAGCCCCGUAUGACGCUCCUGUUGUAGCUAAUGCCGUUGAUCAAAGUACCUGACUUUGGUGAAUCAUCAUCGGAGCCAAGUGAGCUCUUCGACUCCGUGAUCUCUUUAACUAGAUCAACAAGGCUAUAGUGAUCGACAAGCUUGACGGACUGAUUAACUGACUCCGCCUCUCUCGUUUCCAUUUUGUGAAGUUGGACUUGAAGUCUGCUCUUAGUGCCGGAUGCCUCAGCGACUUUUUUAUGCCUUUUUCGUAUCUGAAUUCCCGCGUCGUUGUUUUCGUUCAUGUGGGUCAAAGCUUUACCGUCAAAGAACUCAUCUUCCAAGUUGGUUGCAGGAAAAUUAUGAUUAGAUUCUGUUAGCCAGUUACCAUUAGAAGCGAAAGGAGCAUCUGUGUUUCCCAUUGCAAGAUCUUCGAACAAAUUGUAGUUAUAGCUAUCAGGAUUAGAGUACAGAAUACUGUAGAUAUCCUCCUCCAAUAGGAAGUUCGAGUCGUCUAGAAUAUUCUGUUCAACACUAGAAUCGACAGGCUCCAACUUUGGUUCCACGGAAGUGACACCUUCCUGUGAGAUCUUAAGAACAGAAUGAUCAGCAUUUUCGCAGUCGAUAUAUACAUAUUGAAGACUACGAUUUUGGCUGGAUAGUUAUUAGUAAAAUGUCCAGGAAAAACUAUUUACAAAUAAGCAUUGCUCAUUUUCAUCUAUUGUGCCAACUACAGGAACAUCUACCAAGUCUUAGUGGGAUGUAUUUAAUGGUUAAACAAAUACUAUUCAAGCUAUUAAAGCUAUUGCAGGUUAGAAUAUACCUCUGGUUCAACUUUUAGAUCUUCUGGAGCGGUGAUUCCAGAAAAGUUGGGAUCCAAGAGCUCAUUAAGCCAAUCUUCGAUAUCAUCAACAUUAUCAGCUGGGCUUGUUGAUUUGUGGCAGAUCACUGAUUCGGUUGUCUCAUUUGGCUGCUGCGGGUGGUUAUUGACCUCCUCAGGUAGAGGCGAAUUAUCGGCUUCUGACGGCAAUCCGUUUCUCUUGGUAACACGACAUAGAACGUACGCAUCCUGUUGCAUAAACAACAUUUAACAUAAGGGUUAACCUGCAAUUUAACAUGAUUAAGUUUAUUCUUAAGUAAGUUGACAUAUUCGAAGUAAAAUUAUUGUUACCUUCAUAUCAGGGGCAGCUUUACACUCAUUUUCAUCGAUGUAAUAUUCAUGCAUAAUCCAAUCCGUCCGCUUUCCAGAAGGGGGGCGACCUUCGUGGAAAACUAAGGUUUUCUUGCUCCCUAUAACCCGGUUCUGAGACUUGAUGUUCCGGUCCUUUCCAGUUGAUUUCCAGUAACCCCCUUCGGUCGCCCUAUUCGAUCGUGAGCCAUUGGGAUACUUUCGGUCGCGAGAAGUAAAGAAAUGCCACUUGCUAUCUCUGGUCGGGAUUUUACAUUUUGCUGCAAAAAGGAAAAUUUUUUUAAAAAAGAACGAAACAAAAGAGAGAAAGAAAUGGUAAGAAUCCAAAACACGCGAAAUGUCGAACCAAUUCCAUACUUUACUAUCUAAAAGCUAUGUAGAAGCUGCCAUAGAGAUAUAGGCCUUGAAGCUACUUAAACAGGAAAAUAAAUAAAAAGAAAGCACCUAUUAUCUGAUGCAACCAGUAUAAAUUUAAACUGCAUAAGAUAAAUUUAUCCCUCGCAAUCUUAAUUAGUUCUACCCAGAAGCUUACUCUGGUUGAACUCAAAAGUAAAAUAGGUCCCAAAAAUUAGGAGAGCAAAGAAAAAUUUCGGAGGAAGUCGAACUUUCUCCAUUUCUCAUAUCAUUAGAUCAACUCAUUGAGCUUCAUAGGAAGCGAUGUUACGGCAGGAAGCGAUGUUACGGCAUAGCAUUCGAGUUCACUUACCAGGUAAAUCCCAUGGUUCAUGUUUAUAUAUGUCCACCUCUGGUAUAAUAUUGAAGUCGAUUUUCUGGCCAUGUACUUUCCUCUUCAGAUAGUGAGAUAUAAGUUCUACGUCGGUCGGAUGAAACCCGAAUCCAGGCAGCAGCGAGGUGGCGCUCAGAGACUCCAUUUCAUAAUAUGUUCUUCAGCUGGUAACAAGAAACUACAUUCAUUAAAAACCAAAUAAGACUAAUACUCGAAACUUACAGAAUAAAUUUAAAUUUCAUGUCUUAGAAGCAAGCAUAUCAAAAGUUAAAAAUAGGAAAUGCGAAAAGCAUAAGGUAUACUUCAAUUCAUCUCCUUUCGUAGCUUCGACUAAAUUACUCGGAAUAAAUAUUAAAAUUUGCAUCUGAAGAAACAUGUUACCAUGGAUUAGUCAUACAGCAGCAGAUGAUGUAAAAGCAGCACAAGGUAUCAGCAACAAAUUGCGAAUAAAAAGAUCAUAAAAUAUCCUUCUCCAGAUUCAAAAUUUUUCAGAGAGUAAAUUCAUGAUGAUUGAGGAGGAAAGAGGAAAAAGGAGUUUAAUUGCAACAGUAACUAAUCCAUCCUCAAACAUUGGUUUAUUUAGAUGAUUCUAAAUGAUCAUGAACUAUACAUCAAUUUAAUGUGGUGAGGUUGAUUGAGGGAGAGAGAUAUAAGGAAAUGAAUUGGAAAGAGAACAACAAUAAAAUAUCAAAUUCCAGUUAUAUCUAAGCUUCAGUCCAAGGGUUGACCCAGAAAAGAAAAAAUGUGUUUACUUGGUAGCUAAGUUUAGUAAAUAAUAUCUAUUAGGACCAAAGAAAAAAAAAAGUAACACAAUAAAAUUCCAAGGAACUAAAAAACAAAAUUGUAGCUAUUUCAUUAUUAGAGUCAGCACCAAAUAAGCGAAAUCACGAGGAAAAGGACUCCACCAAAUAAGCGGAAUCACAAGGAAAAAGGGAAAAUCGCAUAUAAAUUAGUCAAAAAAGUACAAAACAAAUAAUUUGAAGCGCAAAUUAACAAAAUUUUACAACAGAAAAGGGAAAAAUCACAUAUAAAUUGGUCGGGAAAACAAAUACAAAAAAAAAUAAUUUGAAGCGCAAAUUGACGAAAUUUAAGAAUACAAAAAAAAAAUGUUAAGAUGACCAACGAAUCAAAUCCUCUUCAAUCACCAAAACCCCCCCACAAAAAAAAGGAAAAAGCUUUUUUCCUAUACCCUAAUAAUCCAUCUCAAAAAACCCCCCAAAAAACACCAAAUUAAAUCGAAUUAAAGAGAAGGACAUAACACAUCAACAAAUACACCUCAAAAACCCCUAAAAAUUCACCAGAUUGAGCCCCCAGAAUAAGCGUAAAAAGAGCAAUUGCCCCUCUCCUAGGGCAUCGUCGAUAGAAUUCGCCCACAAUUGCACCAAAAUGCCACCUUUAAUCCAAAAAAAAAAAGAAAAAACCUUUUUCCCUCGCAACCCAGUAAACCACCAACAAAACCCCAAAAAAAUCCCCCAAAAGACCAUCAAAUUAAAUCGGAAAAAAAAAGCGUAAGAGAGAGAGCAAUCGCCCCUCACCUAGGGCAUCGUCGAUAGAAUUCGUCAACAAUUACACCAAAAUGUCACCUUUAAUCCAAAAAAAAAACCUUUUUUCCCUCACAACCCAGUAACCCACCAACAAAAACCUAAAAAAAUCCCCAAAAACCAUCAAAUUAAAUCGGGGAAAAAAAAAAGCGUAAAAGAGAGAGCAAUUGCCCCUCACCUAGGGCAUCGUCGAUAGAAUUCGUCAACAAUUACACCAAAAUGUCACCUUUAAUCCAAAAAAAAAAACCUUUUUUCCCUCACAACCCAGUAACCCACCAACAAAAACCUAAAAAAAUCCCCAAAAACCAUCAAAUUAAAUCGAGAAAAAAAAAAGCACAAGAGACAGCAAUCGUUCCCUCACCUAGUGCAUCGUCGAGGAGGAGGUGAUGGGGGAGAGGGGAGCAGGUGGAGGUAGGAGUCGUCGACGACGACGAAGUCGUUGUUGCGUUCCCCCCUCCUCCCCCUAUUGUAUUAUAUUUCGCAGUAGCGUGAGAGAGAGAGAGAGAGAGAGAGAGAGAGAGAGACAGUGUGUGUGUGUGUGAGAGGGAGCGUUUGAAUGCGAAAGUGUCCCUCGCUUUCCUCCGACGCGGUUUUUAAGCGCGGAUGCGGUCCCAUCACCAUACCCGGUGAGGAUACCGCCCACUCAUGCUCUCCCGCACUACACGGCAUGUUUGUUUCCCCGAAGCUGAAAAUGAAGUUUAAAUUGAAUUAGAAUUUCGAGUGAAUUAAAUAUCAGAUGAAUGUUUUUUUAAAAAAAAUUAUCAAAUAAUAUAUUAUAGUAUUUUGGACAUAUUGAAAAUUUCGUAGUGAAUUAAAUUUCAGACCAAAUUUAAAUUUCAAAGUUAUAAAAUAACAAGUUUAAAAUUUAAAAACUAACAAUAUCAAAUUUAAAAUUUAAAAUUUUAAAAUAUCAAAUUUAAAAUUUAAACUUUAAUAAAAUUUAAAAUUUUAAUUUAUUAAUUAUAAUUAUAAAAUUAUAAAUUUUAAAAAUUUUAUAUUUAAAUUUAAACUAAAAUUCUCUCUCUCUCUCUCUCUCCACUCAAGUGGGUUGGAACAAGCUUGUUCCAACCCCGGGUGGGAACAAGUGUUCCCAUCAUAACGGGUUCCCACCAUGAAAAAAUUGUGUUUGGGUAUAAAGGGAGGAUAUCCCUUUAUCCCCCCUUUAUACCCGAGGCAAACGGGGUGUAAUAGAAUUUUUUUUCCAUCCGAGGUGAGACCAAGACUACUGAGACAUUACAAAUUCGUGGUAUAGUAUUUCGUAUUGUAUAGUACUUAAACCUCACGCUUUCGGCUGAUGUUCGUUUAUAGUACCAAUUGUAACGAUUUGGUCUCGACCCGUUAAUAAUAAUAACUCGUUGAGUCUAAAUCAUUAGCUUAAAAUUACACUCAGUUAUUAUUACUAAAUUAGAUGACUCUUGUAUUUAUAAUCAGAACCUAUUUUCCAUCUAAGGUGAAAUUAUUAUUAGGACAUUACAAAUAUAAUGAAUUUAAAAAUAAAAAAGCAAGACAUUUGACUAAUCAAAAGAUGAUGUCACAAUUCAUAUUUAAUAAUAAUGUAUGUAUGUUUAAAUUUUGAAGGCCACAAAGAGGAAGAGUGGGAGCCACAUUGUUGUUAGAAAAAGUUAUGAGGAAGAUGCAUAGAAACAACCUUAGAAGGACUUGGGGGCUCCACCACUCAAUCCAUAAAGAAUCUUUCUUGCUUGUGGGAUUGGCUGCUCCAAAGAAGCAGUUAUUUGCCUUUUGUGGGAUUGGCUUUUGAGGUGCUUCAAAUUGCUUCUGCUCCCAGAAGCACUUAUUUGCCUUUUGUGCUGAAGUUAGCUACUUAUGUUUAGUUUUGCAGUAAAACCAAAGGUUUAAAAUUAGAGCCGCUGCUUUUAGUUAUCGAUUUCACAUAUGGGGAAGCUCAAAAUUUUUCUAUUUUCAAGCAUUUUAUCAGAGCAAUUAUUGCUUAAAAUAGAAGUAGAACUAGGAUAAAACAAGCUCUCAGAGCUGUAAAGGCGGAGAGUUGUGUGUUGUAUGUCGGUAACGCACAUCAGUCUAAUUUCUACAAGCAAAAACUUAGCUACUUAUAUUUAGUUUUGUCGUAAAACUAAAGGUUUAAAAUUAGAGCUGCUGCUUUUAGUUAUCGAUUUCACAUUUGGAAAAGCUCAAAAGUUUUCUAUUUUCAAGCAUUUUAUCAGAACAAUUAUUGCUUAAAAUAGAAGUAGAACUAAGAUAAAACAAGUUCUUAUGAGUUGCAAAGGCAAAGACUUGUGUGUUGUAUGUCUGUAACGCACAUCGGUCUAAUUUCUACAAGCAAAAUUCAAAAUUAGAAAUCAAAAUGAGUUGUUUUUUUCUUUUUAAGUUCCUUCUCACUAGGUGUUUAAAUAGUUAAUUAAAAAAAAUAUUUAUAGUAGAAUAUGAUUUAUUAAAUGUAUUCGUACUGAUCCUUACGUGUGUAGAGUGGAAACAAGACAAAAGUAAUGCCUAUUUAGUUUCGAUACUCUGGUAACUGCUAAAUCGAUUGAAGUAAGACGACUCAGUGAAUAGUACUAAAACAAACUUUGGUUUAGUGGGGCUAAGAUUUAUAAUUAGAAAUAAAAGAGAAAAAAGAGGAAUGGAAAAGGAACAAAGAAAAGAAGAGAAGGGCUAUUUUCUAUCUAUGGUUCAUGAUUCAUUUCCAACCACCCCAAUGAGUGGUCAAAGGUGGAAGUUUUAAGUAACAUAAUGUGAUGGGACACAAAACAAAAUUCUCCUAUUGACUAAAAGAGAGCACUAUUUAUUAUUAUUAUUAUUAUUAUUAUUGCUUAAUUAGAACACCAAGCUCCAUUAUUAUGCACCCACUUGUUUUGAGUACCCUCCAUAUUUGUCCACUACAAUUUGAUGAAAAUAGCAAUGUAAUUUGUCUCAAUUUUUAUUACAAAGCCACCACACACAUUAAUAAUGGCAUGGAAAAGGAAAUUAAUAGCAAUUAUAACAAAGAGUUGGAGUUGAAAAAUACAAAAGUUUCAGUAGCAUGCACACACAAAAGAUUUAGCAAAAUUAAAGCAAAUAACAAAAGGAAAAAAUUUUAGACCCCCCCAAAAUCUUAAACCUAAAAUAAGCUUAUAAAAAUUUAAGCUACUCCUAUAUAUAAAAAGAACAAAUAUUUAUAUUGGACACUAGUUCUAGAAGUAUGAAACAUAUGCUAGAGUAAGUAAGCGUAGAAGAUACCAUAGAUUUUUUUUUUUUUUUGCCUUCUAUUUUUAAUUAUCUAUGGACUAAAAUUUGGUGCUAAAUCAAUCAAAAAGAAAAAGAGGGAAAGAAAAAAAAAAGCUUUAUCUUCUUCUUCUUCUUCUACAAGAAAACUUGUCACUCCUUUUUGUUUGGCAACAUCUACUAAUGGGGCAGCUUUAAUUGGAAUAUUAUGUUGUUGAUGUAACAACUUUUGGUUUCAUAAUAGUGAAGUGCAACCAACCAAUGUUAGUAAGACAAAAAAAAAAAAGUCAUUUUCUCUUGAUAAAUUAAUAUGAAAAAGAAAUUUUAAAAAAAUCAUAGUGCCCCAUUGUGGGGGCAGUAUGAAAACAAUGAUAUGCUACAUGAGUACCAUAAGAUCACUUUAGUUGCUUUUGUUAAAGUUUGAAGCCAUUAUCUCUAAGAAGCAUUUUUGGAAAAGCACAUGCUUUUUUCAGAUAUUGGUACAAAAAGGAUGAGAAAAAGUAAAAGCAUCACUAUGUUUAAAUCUUUUCAUUUGUGCUUUAUAUUUUAUUCUUAUCUUUUCAUUCAUUUUAUAUUGAUUGAUUAGAAUAGAUAGUGUAGAAUAGCGUAUCUUACCGGAACACUAAGUGGUAUAGAUUUUGAUUUAAUUAUGGUGCUUUCGAUUUUAGUGUACAAUAGUAUAAAGAUUUUAGAACGUACAGAAACUAUAUAAAUUGUAAUCUAUUUAUAAAUGUUGCGUUUGAUCUGCUAUCUUAUAUGUACUGUAAAAUUUAUGCACACCAGAUUGAUUCUGGUGCCCAUCAAUUCUUAAAAAAAAAAGAAAAAAAAAGAGUACAAUUUCUCUCUAGUCAAGUGUCUAGAAAAAGAAAAGUUAAUUGCCCCACCUAAACUUUUGCUUCUUUGUAGUCAUCUAAAUUUUUCAAAAUUUUAUCUAUCUAAAACUUCUAAAGUUUUGCAGUCGAUCGUUUAAUUUUACAUUUUAUCAAUUUAAAUUGACUAAUAUCAGCCAAAUGAUCAAAAAAUAAUAAUGAACGCAUACCGAUAAUCUAGCAAAAUCUUUUUAACGGUAAAAUCCAAUCUUAAUAAGUAUGUAUAUAAAUUAAUCUCUAGCAUUUGUUUUUACAAAUCAAAUGUGAGAAUUAUUGCCAAUUUUAUCCACAAAAGUAUUCUUUGACAUUAAAUUGAUGAAAUAUGAAUCUACCUUUUAAAAGUUGGAACGUCGAAUAUAAAAUUUUAAAAGUUUAGAUGCCAAUCUGCAGUAAAAAUAUAUAGAACUUACCUGAAUUACGCACCAUUUUAAAUUGACUAUUUGAACUUUUAAAAUUUAUGAUUUUACUAUUCAACUUUUCAAUUUGUUUGAUUUCAGGCAGACAACAGUCUUUUAACUUCAAAAUUUAAGCUAAUUAUUUAUUUUAAUAAACUUAUAGCUACGAGAAUUACAUAAAAUAUGCUGACUAAAUUUGUAAAGAUAAACGACGCAUUCAAAUUUCAAAGUUAAAGUGCCGUUGACCGACUCAAAUCAAAUAAAUUGAAUUAUUAGAUAGUAAAAUUAGAAUUUUGAAAGAUCGGAUAGUUUUUUUUAGAAAGAGAGAGAAAAAUAACACGCUAUUUGCUUCUUUCACUGAGCAAUUGAAUUUACCUGUACGAAGGAAAGUUGUAAGGGCCCCGGGAAAAGCUAAAAGGCAAAAGAAAAAGGAUCUAAAAAGAAAAGCAAAUAUAGGCGUCGAAACAAAGAGUCUAACAAACAGAGACGUUACCAGCUCUGGACAGUUGAAUCAAAAUACUCUAUAAUUCCAGUAAUGCGUUGAAUGACCUUUUAGUUCAGUAAGCAAUGGCAGAUUACAUCUGAACCGUCGGAUACGGUGGACGGCUGAGAUGACGUAUAAUGUAUUCCGGUGCGUACAACGGCGCCGUAUAAUUAAAGCUUCAAAAAAAAAAAAAAAAAAAAAAAAAAAAAAACNNNNNNNNNNNNNNNNNNNNNNNNNNNNNNNNNNNNNNNNNNNNNNNNNNNNNNNNNNNNNNNNNNNNNNNNNNNNNNNNNNNNNNNNNNNNNNNNNNNNUCGGCGGCGAUGGACCCGAUCACCCCAUUGAUGGCGACAUCAAGUCAGGACGCCAUGGCGAUGCGGCUUUGUUGUGCUGCAGCUGCCUCAGAGAGGUGAAGGUGAUGUCGUACGAGUUGAAGGAGUUGAUGUUGCUCUGCAACUUUACGCGAGUUGGACGCAUAGAAGUCAGACCGCCGCAGCACACGAGUUAGAAGUGUCGACGUUGGGCCGCGGCAACGUGAAAGUCACAGAUUGCCAUAAUACUGGAGCUUGGGGUGGCGGCGACGUCGGGAUGACGACGACGAAGGAAAACUUCUUUUCCUUUCCUCUGUUGACAUACGUAAGAGAAAAAGAGGAAGUUGGGGUCACAUGGUAAAACAUAGGUUGAUGAUGAUUUUUUUUUUUUUAUCUCUUCCUCUCAUUUCUAUCCACUCCUCUUUUUAUAAACUGUGCUUAAUGCUAGACGAGCCCGUUAUUGUUGGGUUAGUAGUGGAGUGGGUGAUGGGAUAAUGGGUGGUUAAUGAAUGGUGGAGUAAUGGGAUAGUUAAUAGAUAGUGGAGUAAUGAGGAGUUUGGAAAGUUUGUUUUAGAAUUGAACGGGUUCAUCAAAUGAGAUAAUACUGAGCAGUGGGAAGUUGUCAGGAUUUCUUUUUAAUCUCUCUCUCUUGGCAAGCCCAACAUUAAUUGAAUAUAGGUCCAAAUCUGCUGUAUUGAAAGGUGCCUCCCAUUAGUAAUUUAUGCACGAACCUAAAUAUUGGCCCAAUAAAAUAUAUGUUUGUGAGAUCCCUGGUGUUUGGCUGUGGGGACUUGUCGACAGCUCUGGAGAGUGUCGGGACAAGUCUGAGUCGUGUUGGCGUCAAAUAGACGCAAAACGCACUCUGUGCGACGCGAGGGCAGCAUUCAGCGAAGGAAUCUGCGAAACAGCAGAUUUUCCUGCUUGCUGUACCGGUACAAGAGUAUGCUGUACCGGUACAACCAGCGCGGGGAAUGCUUGCUGUACCGGUACAAGGGUUUUCUGUACCGGUACAAGCUACGCGCACAGAUUUAGCUGCUCUCGGGUUGGCUCUUGUACCGGUACAGGAGCCCGUGUACCGGUACAAGGGAGUAGGUAAAGGGCUAAAACGGUAAAAUCUCACCUCGUUUGUAUCUCCCUCACCUCCCCUCUCCUUUUAAGUGUCCGAGCAGAGAGAGAGAGAGUGAGAGAGAGUACUUCCUGCUCUUCUCCAUCUUCUUCUUCUCCUCUCUCUCUCUAGGUGUUGGUGGAGAGUCCGGUUGGGGGAUUCCGUCGCCGACGUCGCGCCGCGAGCCGUUCGAGCGCGCUUGCUGCCGGAGCUUUACGAGGAGGCCGGGCGAGGGAGCGUCUUCACUGUUCUUGACGUCGCGCCGAGGUUCGACGCUGUCGAGGUGGGUGAUUCGGCGUCUUUCCUGGAUUUUGGGCAAGUAUUAUUAUUUCUACUCGGUUAGUAGCUGUUUUGCUGAAAUCCGCCGUCGACUGUUCGUAUUUCAGCUCGUUCUCCGCGUAGGAACGUCGGAUCGCGACGAGGCUUGGUUCGUUGGAUUCGGGACUUCGAGAGGAAUCCACGAAGCCCUCACUUGCCAGAUUUGGUGAAGGUUAGCUCGGUCGAAUCCCGUUCCUACUCAGCUGCUGUGAAUUUCUGGACUGAAUCGAGGAUCCUUAAUUGUUUAGCUUGGCGUUAGCUCGUCCACCGGACUUGGAGGUCCCCAGUUGAUCCAGCAGAGGUUGUCCUGGUUCGAGGCUUCGUUCGCUGCCUGGAUUUAGCUUUUGAGGUGGGUUACAUCGGCUUUACUCCUAAGUUCUUAUUGGUCGACAUGUAUAGAUCUUGAUUUCGGUAAUUAAUUUUAGCUCAAAUUCAUGGACUAUAUGUAGAUUGUGAAAUCUGAAUUUUGGAGCAUGUUGUUUUAAAUUAAGUAGAUUAUACAUGUUGGACUUGGAAAUUGAAUUAGGAGAAAACCUGCGAUUUGGACCUGUCACCUGUAUAAACUGCCUGAUUUAGCUCUAGGAGCCGUUAGAAAAUUGUACUGUCGCAGUAUUGUCGAGACGAGUACUCCAGGUAGUUUAGAAUAUAUUUACACUCGUGCUGGUUCGCCGAGUGGAUUUUUACCGGGUCGUUCAGGUUAUUUCGGACUGUUGGGUGCCGUCAGAGUUGACGGUGGACCCGUAUCGCCUUUUUGGCGUCAGAUUGUGCCGAGGGCACGUUACCUGUUGGUUGUUAGACCAGUUUAGAGUCGGUUUCUUGACUUUGGCUUUCCAGAGCCUGUUUGAGCUCGACAGAGAUACGCUGCAUACUCGGUUGGGUAGCGCCCACGAGUGCCACUCCGGAGUCAGGCUUGUGCUUUUGCGUUGGUGUCGCUCAUGCCAGUUGGACUUGCUCUCCACGGACCAGUUAGAGUGGAUAGAGCCCGAUAGUCGCAACGGGGCAGGGACGGGUGUAUUCACAGUCCCGGGGACGGGUAUGCUUACAGUCCCGAUUUGGAUUGGGUCAGAUUUGACAUUUCCUACAGUUGGUUAGUGUAGAGCAUGAUAGUGUAGUGGAUGAUAGCGGUAGAGUGUACUUCCUGCUUUUCCUUCUAUCCUUGCUCCCUUCUGUAGACUUAGUGGGUGACCGAUGUCGUUUUGGGCGGUACCCACUGAGGACUACUUGUUCUUACAGUAGUUCUCACGCCCAGUUGUUACUUAUGUUUUGCAGAGCCACAGGUGCCGGCUGCUGCAUCUUCCGCCGACCAGGAUCGAGGCAAGGGCGUUGUGAGCUAGAGCCCUACCCGACAGUCUGAGCUAGUGGCUUUUCCCUCCUGCAGGUAGUUGUUGUUUUGGAGUUUAUGUAUAUAGUUGUUUAACUCGCCAGUGCGAGUAACCUUGUAUUUUGGAUUCUGGCUAUGUAUAUGAAACUCAGUUAUUUAGUUUUUGAGCAGCUCUAUGCUACUGUUUGUAGUAUCGUUUUUCUACAGGUUCUUUGACGCUUCCUAUACAGGGGAAAUUCCUUUGUAUACGGCAGAUCUGUCGGCGUGCCCGGGGGACGAGACAUCCGGAUUGGACGUGAAAAGAUGUAGCAUAUAAUCUUGUAUUGUUAUAGUCCCAUCUUUUAAUGAAUCUAAGCUCAGAAUUUGGCUUCCAAAUAUACUUAGUUUUCUCAUCUACUAUAUGUUCUGAUAAAAGGGCCGCCAAUAAAAAUUUAUAUAUAAAUAAAAUGUCCGCCUUUUUUAUUUUUUAUUUUUUAAUUUUUCUUGCAUCUUUGAAAGGUUAGUUUCUGAUUUCAAAGUGGUUAACAAAUAAUGAAGCUGAAUUGAUCUUUUACACUUCUACUCUUCAAUUUUAACAGUUGAAGACUUUUUUUUUGAAGAAAAACAUUAUUUUAAAAGUGAUGACAAAAGGAUCAAUUUCACUUAUAAAUAAAUAGAACAUGCUAUUUUAACGGUAAACUAAAGCGCAAUAAGAAAAUAUUUAAAAAUUUAUUAGACUUUUUGUAAGGAAAAUUUAUUAAAUAAAAAGUUGAAUUUUUAUACCAGAUUUAAUGAAAAUAUUUUAUAAAUUCUCACUAUAAAUUUUUUUGUAGAAGUAAAUACUUCUGUAUAAUAAUAAAAACCCCAAAUAUUUAUGGCUAUCUCUAUCUUCAUGGUUCAACUAUAUUAAAUUUUGCCUCUAUAAAGGAGUUAAGUACUGAACAACAAAUAAUUUUGUUUCCCUCUUGAACUAAAGUUGGCUAAAAGUGUUAGAUAGUAAAUUUUAAUCUUGUUUGGUAUUUCAGUGUUUUUCUUAUUUUCUUAGCACCAAUAUUUUCACCACAAUAGAGCUGGUCCCGAUUUCUUUUUCCCCAACUCUUUUCUCCUUUUUUUUUUCGCCGAGAAGUUCUGAAGGAAUCCUAUUUUGUUUAGUCUAACAGCAAAAAAUAAAAUUAAAAAAAAAUUAAAAAAAAUAGUGAUUGGAUCUUUAUGCUAAGUCAGUCGAUAUAAUUUAAUCGUAUUCAGAAAAUUCAAAAUCGCUUAGAAUUAUCCUGAAUUUUUUUAACAAGUAUACCUGUAAAAACCACAGCAUUAAGGCAAUUCCAGCUAUUUUAACCAGACGUUAAAAAUUUUAUAAAUAUUUUUGUGACAUUAAUAUGAUCGAAAGAAAUUAAAUUGAUAAUGACAUAUAUAUAAUUAAUCCUGGAAAAAAUAUCCUGAAACAUGCCGCGUGUAUUCUUCUUAUCUUAUUAGGCAAAAGCCAAACGUCACUAAUAAUCAAGAAAAAAUUUAAAAUUGGAGCAAUAUACCAGAUGCAUAUCUAUAUAUACUUAACUAAAAUUUUAUAAUAUUAAAUAACAAAAAGCUAACAAUAUAUACCUAAUUUGUAUAACAAUGCCAUAAUGAGUUUGUGUAGGGUAAAAUUAAAAAAUUGACCAACAUCCAGUUAAGCACAAUGUGGAAAACAAACCACCGAUAAAAUUUGAGUUCACAACUUUAAUUUAUAAACCGAACAAUCAUCAUAUGUAAAUAUUUAAAUGGUUGAAUACAUAAUGAAUAAACCAAAAUCAAUAUAGCAAAUAUUUUCAAAGUACUAAAAAUACAUUCUAAAGAUAUAUAACAUUAAAUCAACAAUAUAUUAGCUAUACUAUUACAGAUUAGCGGACUUUGAACAAACCCUUUUUCUCCCUCAACUAGCAAGUCUAAUGCGACCUGCAACACAUAUAGCUAUCAUGACGUUCAUAUCAAAAACAAAGUGAAAUAACCAUACCAAUAAGAAAGAUUUGGUAGCCAACACUACAACAAAAUAUAUUUUUACCGAUGCUUUUUAGACGACGCUUUAUUCUAACGUCUUUAAUACUUGAUAUAUGCUGACGCUAUGAUUAAAUGUCGCCAAUAAACAAAUAUCUUGACGUCGCUUCCAAAGCGUCGUAAUUAAUUACAUUAUUUUUUAAUUAUUUUAAUUAAGAUUUUAAUUAGCUUAUUUCUAA